Molecule: long non-coding RNA, 52694 nt
Filed under: Prunus persica (peach)
Lineage: Eukaryota; Viridiplantae; Streptophyta; Magnoliopsida; Rosales; Rosaceae
Description: long non-coding RNA (PPER_LNC005429)
Source: RNAcentral
UUGUGAAUUAGAUAGCCCAUCACAUUCAGAGCACUUUGAUAAAAUCAUGGGAUUUGAAAUGGUUGUAGGUAAAGAUGAGCUUACAGUUGCCAUGGAUUUACACUUGGGAGGAAUGUGGAAGGAUGAUGCAUGAGUGGUGAUAGUUACCUAAUUGGAUUUUCAUGAGUAGCUUUACUCACUUUAUUUUCCAAUACUUGUACUUGACAAUCAGUGACAAUUAGUGCUAGUUUGCUUUUUUGGUCCCCUAAAUUAACACCUCUCUCCUUCUCUUUUUAUCUUUUUCCUCUUUUUUCUUCGUAAUGGUACUAAAAUAAACAGUGCUUAUAAUGAAAGAUAAAUAAUUUAAAUUUGCGACAUUUUUCAAUAUUUAAACGAGAAAUACUAAACCAAAAGCUAAGCUAAUUGGUACAUAAAACACGCAUUUUUUUAAAACUUGAUCCAACGUCAAUUAAUGGAGUGGUGAUACUCGCGCGUUGAGAUACUCUCUCAAUUUCUGGAAGGGUGCCCUUCAGAAUCACACGUGGCCCAUCUAUGUGCCUCUUUGCAACCAAAACCCACGUGAUCUAACUGCCCUUCACAAUUCACAGAGCACUCACCCAAAGGGGGCAGUAGAGCUGUCACCGGCGUACCAAUGACUGUGCCAGUGCCACACAUGCCAAAUGCUGGCGCAUUGACGGAGUUUGUUUGCCCAUGACCGCUGACCGGACCCAAAUUUUCCAACUUCACAGAAAGGUUCACAAUCCCAUUGGUCCUGGAACCGUCUCUAGCCCGUAGCCGGUAACUCAAGUACCGUGCUGAACCGGCCGGCGGAAACCCAAUAUCUUGAGCAGAGAUUUGGCACCAGCCCAACUGGGUCCGGCCCAUUAUGAGCCGCUUGCUGUAAAGCUGCAGAUAUAUGCAAGAGUACCUGUUUGUGAAGAAACUUGUGUCCACAGGGACAUGAAAUUUGUCACCCCAUGUAGGGUUGAUACCUCCUUCAUCAUCCACCCCUGUGCUGUACACGUGGCACUUGUGAUCACCGUUGGUGGUGGUGAGGGUAAUGAAGGUUCUGAUCUUGUUUGAGAACGUAGUAGGGGAGGUGGUUUUGAGGCCUUGGGCUGAUAUCACUGUGAUCUCCAUCUUCAUCAGUGGCUAGUGAUUGUACUCCUUCAACAUGAUGUUAUUGAACUUGGCUUGGAGUUGAUUGGUCUAAUUAUAUACAUAUAUAUAUAUAUAUGAGUUUGUAUAUAUAUACAUAUAUACAUAUAUAAUAUAUGUGAAAGUGUGUAGCAAUAAUAGGAAAUUAAAUAUGAGAGAGAGAGAGAGAGAGAGAGGGUUCUUGGGAGCUUCAAAGGGGGUUAAUUACAGUGCAGUUUCCUUGUGGAAUAAAAAUGGAGAAUUUUGGAAAUGGAAUUUUGAAAGGGUGGAUGAUGCAGCUUUAUAUGACUCAUACACUCAAAAAAGCAAUGGAAUUUUCCCGCUUGCCAAGUCAACUAGAUAGACGGUUUUUGUGUUUUGAUGUUUUUCCCCUACCCAUAUGCCCGUCAGUCACUAAACAAAGUGUGCCAAUCAUUUUUAAUGUUUCUCUCGAAAGCAAUAGAGCCUAAGCUUCGCCACUUCUUGAUGAUCCGGAUCGUCUGUUUGAAUUUUCCCACUCAUUAUAUGUUUGUCUUUUAUUCUCGAUUACAAAUGAUUGUAAAUAUUUAAAAGUAAUUUAUGAUUUGCGAUAAUUCAUUUUUAUAGGUUGUUUAUUGUUAAUUAUUUUGUUUUUCUAUCAAAAAUAAAAUUAUACUAAUAUUAAUUUCUUGUAUAGAUAGUUGCUCAAACCUUGCAUUUAAUGUGGGGUCCAAAUAGUUGUCAAGUAGCAAAAGCCAGCUUCUUUCCUUGAUUUAUUUUUCCACCAAGUUGUCAUGCAGCAUACUGCGGAUGCACAUGUCGUUUUGUUAUAAAAUUUUCUUUAAUUUGCAAAUUGCAAGUGCCGUCUUUGGUCGUCUGCAUGAAUAUUUUUCCAUGCAAAUUAAUUUGCAGAGCAAUUUCAUGGUAGAAGUCUGGCAAAUGCGUAAACACAUGGGCGUCAAGAGGAAUUGAAGUCAACCCAAUUUUGCUGAUCACAUGCAUACAAAUUCCACUAAGCUUUUCAUAAUAUUAAUAGGUCAUGUUAGUGGUCGGCACAAAUAUACGAAAAACAACAACUAGAUAUUGCCAAAAGCAAACAAGGCAAAAAACAGUUUUGCCACUUUACUUUAUAGAUUGGUCCCAGCCCAGCUGCAGCAAAGCAUGUGUAGCUGAGGUGAGGGUUCACAUUAACAUUAUGUUCUUGGCAGAUUGUGUCGACUUUAGGGACCGAAAGUGAAGCACUUGUUGACUCACCACAAGAUCGGGAUAUUCAUUUACUUCUCAAUUUUCCAAAUUUUUGUUCUUUUUUUGUGUGCGUAUAUAUAUGUAUAAAGAAAAACAAUUAAUUAGGGAAAAUUUAAAUAUAUUGCAGUCGAUCGACAAAUUUAAUACUUGUAUUUGGUUUAUUAAUUUUCCGUUGUCUUUUAUUUUUUUCAUAUUUUAAUAGCUUAUGUUAACAUUGAAUAUUGGGAUCCUUAGAGAAUCUUGCUUGUAAUUAUAUUUGUUGUAAGUCUAGAUUGACUCUCAAUAAUUUCAUAAGGACAUUGCAAUAGACAAAAUUCAUAGAAUAACGAGUCAAUUUGUUACGUAUCAAUGAACCAUGAGGAAAGUUGAGUGGUCACAUGGCAAACAGAAAAUGAAAUAUACAGUGAGAUUAUAUAACAAACUACAUUUAUCUGAAUAGAGAUGAUUGGUUUCGAGUUGUUUUAGUCUCUGUGUGGAGGAGCUUUGUUUUUGGUUGGGUGAUGGGCCUCUUUGGCUUUUAGAUGGUGUUGGGGAGGAUUGGUCUUGAGUGGUUUGAUUUACUUGUAGUAGGUAUUUCACUCUUCUGAUUAGUCAUUAGUAUGAGAAGUACUUUAUACUCUGGGAUUUUAUUCCAUGUAGUUUUUUCCAAGAAGAUUUUAACGAGGCCACCGUUAACAUGCUCAUUUUUAUCAUGUAAUGUUCGGUUUGAGUGGUCACAUUGAUAAACAGAAAACAAAAUUUACAGUGAGAUUAUAUAACACAAACUACAUUUAUCUGGACCCAAAACUCUCUGUUUCAAUCCAUAAAAGUAAAAUUUGAGAACUAGUAGUAGAAAGGGCAAGGACAUCCAACUCAUAAAUUCCAUUCAAUCCAAAACCUGGAGUUAGAGUGCUAAAAUUUAGGAGACAUUUUGUAAUGCUUGUCGAUAAAUUAUAUGCAAUUGGGCUUAUAUCCAAAGUAGUUCGAUGCCUCGACAGAGAAAGCUGCAGAAUCACUAUUCAAGAACAAAGUCCUAUUUCCCCAAGGUCCUUGGCUCUGAAUCCGACCAAUUGCCAUAACUUAAUGGCACCUCAAAAUAUCUAAACCUAGUUUUUGUCGUAAACCUGUUCUCUCGUUUACUCCAUGAACUAGACAAAAUGGAAGAAAUGUAAUUAAAAAAAAAGCUAAAAGCCUCGUUUGUGCGUGUUUAGGGUCUUCAAUGUCACAAACCAAAACAUUCCCUUUCAAGUCCAGGGCAUAAAAUUGUCCCAUUGAAUGUCACAUACCUUUUGACAACGUCGUUGUUGAUGGGGAUCAAAAGUAAGAAAAGCUACCAUGGAAACUUUCUUUUUUGUGGCCCAAAAGGCUAGAAGAACCCUUAGUCGGCCCAUUUCUGUAGGCAUGCAUGCAUGGUCCAUAAAUUUCAAUUGAUAAUUUGGGACCGCGAAUGUGGGUUUGAUGAGUUGUAUGUGUGCUUGCUCGCCCAUUUAUACCCGAGUUCAAUUCUCUUCCAUCUCUAGUGUCGAAUAAACAUAAACCCCGGGGGGGAUUGCCAGGCACACCAUGAACAGUGUUUAUAAGAGGUUUUAGAGACUGUUCCAACAGUAUUUCUUCUAGCCAUCAUCCAACUUGUGUGAGUUUCUUUAGAAUAAUAAUGAAUGUAACGCAUCCAAGUGGCUUAACAUGGCUGUUUACUAAGAUGAAAAAUUGCUCAAAAUCCCUUAACGGGUCUUUUGCAAUUUUAGGCCCAAACAAUUAUCCUUACGGAUAACGAACCUGACAUGAUAGGUCCAUUGUCAAUUCUCAAUCAACCAUGAGCAUAGACGAUGGAUGACUCAAAUUGCCAAGCGAGACCGAAUUACGUGAUUUUUUGUUUUACAAAGCGGCAUUCUAGAUUAUACAAAGAAGGGAUCGAACUCAGAUGCAAAGAACGGACAACACUGAUUGGACACUAGCAAAAUGAAAAUGAACGAAAUCAUGCUAAUCUUGAAAUUAGCUAAAUUAUCACUAACAUACAUUCACCACAUUAGUCAAAUGUGGCGUGUUUCUGUUUGUCCGUCUGCUUUUGAAACAACAAACAACAAUUCAUGGAUAAAAUUUUGAAGGAAUUAAUUUAUACAAGCGGGCUCACAAUUUUGACUGUUCCCGCCCAACUCUUCUGGCGCUUCAUGGAUCAAGGAAAAAUUUCAUCCGCGCCCAAACUACGACGCACGCACGGCGUCGUUUCGCAGUUUCCAGAACACACUAGAAAAUCUGAUCCUUUCUUUCCAUAAACGACGUGACGCUAUCAGUCAUUUGACUCGCACGUGCGCACUUUUCUCCUCGUGCGGUGCUGUCCACUCUUCCAUUAUCCGGAAAAACAAAUCAUAAUCACCAUCGUCAUCCAAUCAAGUCCGUCACUUUCCGAGCUCCAGCCACGUGGAGUCCUGAUCGCGCUUCGAACUCCCAUCUGACGGCUCUGAUUUCAUCGCCUCAGACCCUUCCCGAUGCUGCUCCUCUUCCUCCUCGUCUCUCCGCACGCGCUUCACCCCAAUGGACACCCCAAAUAGCCUCGGCCUCGUCUCCUCCUCCUCGUCUUCCUCUUCCUCCGCCGAAGCCUCCGCCUUAGACCCCUCGCGAACGACACCAUUUUCAGACGGCUCAGCCUCCUGCACCGGCGACAGCUCCAGAGGCUUACCCUCAUCCAUUACACUCCCACCGCCACCGCCGCCGCCCUCCAACUGACCAGAAGCGUAGUUCGUCAUCAAAGCCAAUAUAUUGUUGCACAAGCCGCGCAGCUGAGUCAGCUCGUGACUUAGCUGCAUGUUCUCUUUCCUGAGCCGCUCGUUCUCUUCCAGAACGUCCGACGUGGUGGUGCAGCUCCGGAUUCGGCUCAACAUCGUAGCCGGAGGCGCCACCGGCGACGAGUUCGACGAGAUCACUUGCUCGUCGCCGGAGUUCGACGGAGAUACCCCGGGAGCCACCACAGAUACCGUCGCCAACGUAGCGGUAAUCGCCGCAGGCGACGCCGACACCGACGGCGAGAUUUUCCGGCGCUGAAUCUCCCGUAGGAGGCCUUUCUCACCUCUUUUGAAGCAAUCGUUCGCGAACUCCCACCGAUCCGGCACAACUUUCCGAAAUCCCUGCAAGUACAAUAGAAAUCGAUUAGAAAAUAGAAUAUUUACGUGCUUAAGUUUGUUUGGCUGCCGAGAAAGAGGAGGAAAGUGAGGGAAACAGAGAGGGCUUACGUAAGUGUUGAGCUGGCGGACGAAGCUGGAGAAGUUGUUAUGCUUGAAAUACUUGGGGAGCAAAUCUCUGGCGAAUUCGGCGGGUCGCCAGACUAUGAAGGCCGAUCCGUCUUCGCUCCACGAGAUCAAAUCGUCGACGGACGGAUCGUCCACCAGCUGAUACGUUUUGGUCAAAAACGGCGUCGGAAGCGUCCUUUGUGAGUCUCCACCUCCUCCAGCGCCGUUAACCGGGCCGGAGUCGCCGUUCUGGUCGGCCUGCAACGACGCCAUGGCCUCUAGGCCUUCGGCUUCUCAGAUCCGAGCUCUAAUAGCAACUGAUUUAUCAAAUAAGUAACUGUUGUUCAAUAUAACAAAUAAAUUAAAAUUAUUUAACGUUUCAAUUGGUUGCAGAGAAACCGUGGAGCAAUUAAAAAUAAAUAAAAAUUGAAGAAAGGAAAAUUCUGGAGGAAUUAAUUGAUUUAAUUUCAUGUAUGAAAUGUCUAGCAGCUUCAGAAAAAAAAAUUUUAAUUAAUUAAAUUAAAGGAAACGUAUGUACCUGGAAAGUGAGGCUUUGGGAUGAACAAAGUGUAGGGAUUUUCCCACCAACCAAACGGAAAACUGGAAAAGAAAGUUCGUUUCCUACACGAAAGCUAACUCUAUCUAGAACAGUGCUUGGGCUGUUGCACCAAGGCUUAACCAGAAGAAGCCGCAGCAGCUCCGAGAGAGAGAGAGAGAGGCGGGGAGAACUUCCCUGCUCUUUUUGUUGUUUCUAGAAGGUUCUGGGGUGCGUGGAGUAAAUGAUAGGAGCAAGACGGAAAAAGGGUAUUCGUGGGUUCGAGAAGGAAAGAGAGAAAGUAAUUGUUUUAUUUUUUUAAGGAAAAGGAGAUUGGAAAAGGGCAAAAACUGUGGGGGCCCACGGACAAGAGGGAGUGAUUAAACAACGGAUAGGAAGGCGCGAGAAGUAGGGGCUAAGAGAGAGAAUUAGUAGGUUUUUCUUCUAACGUCUUUUCCAGAAGCUUCUCCCAUUCUUUCAUUUUCUAUUAUUUUAUUAUUAUUUUUUGCCCAAUUUACGUUUUGUUCCCCGUAACUUGUUUAGUUUUUCAGGUUGGUCCCUGUUUUCUUUAUUUUGACAAUUUUCAUCCAUUGCUUUUGGAAGGUUGGCAAUUCUAGUCCAAAUUGACAAACCCAAAAACAAAGGACUUUUUAUUACAAACGAUACCUAAGAUUUACAAAAUUAUCAUAUUUUGUCCUUAUUGUUCUUUUGUAAUACUAAUGGUCCUUAAAGUUAGCUUUUGUACAACAAAAUGAUCCCUGUCGUUAAAUUCUGUUAAUUUUUUUGUUAAAUUGAUGACGUGGCAUAUGUGUGGAGUUCACACAUCCAAUGAUAUAAAGCCACGUAGCUUUAAAUAUAAUAUAAUAUAUUUUUAAAUAUUUUUAAAACUUAAAAUUCAUUUCACAAAAAUUAAAAGCAACUUAAAUUAUUUAUUUAUUUAUUUUUUUAAGUUUUAACAUAGAACUAAAAUAUCAAUUAACAUAAAUUUCCUAACUUAUCCUCAAUUCAAUUCCUUCUCAAUUAAUUCAUCCUCAUUCUCACUCGAUUACGAAUAAGUAAACAUGCCAUAAAUUCAACGUAUUAAUUAGCGUUAAAAAAAUCCUUCCAUUCUAUGGAGGCAAAACACUCUUUGGUUGUCGGCUGUUUUCUACCUAGUACUGCUCCUGGAGCUUUAAUGAAGUUAGGUUUGUGGAUGCCUUUGGAGGUAGGGAAUAUUAAUUUGUGAACCUAUUACAGUUUGAAAGGUUGAACUUUGUAUGUACAGUUAUAUAACACAUAGAACCAGUCAAGACAGAGGCAUGUAAAGUUGUUAUUGGACUUUGAUGAAUUGACAUGUAUUCAAAUAAGACUAAAACACCUUGUGACAGGUACAUUAUGAAGAUUGCAAUGGAAAAAUUUGUGAGGAAGGGGACCCAAAAUUAUUUUUUAUGGGUGUCUUUGUGCGACUUUUUGAAGUACAAAUAAUUCUAAGAGCAUUCACACAACACAAUCAAAGUAAUAUUAGAGAGGGGGAAUUCGAACAUAUGACCACAAAUGUAGGGCUAACUACUCUUGACCACUUGAGAUUGUGCAGAUUUAAAGGAGCUGGCUUUUGAGGGCAACUCUCACACGUGAUCUUCCUCUAUGUCUAUUUGUUUGCAGAAUCUCAAUCCUCAGCACGAUGAAUGUUGCAAAGAGUUUCAUAGUAACUAAACAACACAGAAAACAACAAAAGAGCUGAAACAAAUAAUCAAAAUGAAAAAAAAACAAUAAGUUCUAGAAGCUCCAUCUUGAUCCACAUCACCAGCCUUAUCUUCAACUGAUCCUCAUCUCCCAAGAUCAGCAGAAAGAUUUUGACUAGAAAUUACUUCAAUUUAAAGCAUUUCUUAGGGCUUCAGCAUGACCCAUGAGAGCAGCAUAACUAAUGCCUUCAAUAGAAUCCCCUAUAUCGUUAUUAUUGUGUUACUAAUUCACAUGUUAUGUUAUAUGUGAAUGCUACAUAUAUAAAAUCAUGAGUGGAAAUGAGUGGACGCGGUAUGACAUUCGAAAAUCUUCCCCCAUUUCACAUCCAACUUCCACUUAAUUUAAGUAGGACCAGUCCGAUGCUGCCACUGAAAUGCACAACAUAUUAGAGGUAUCGUCUCUUUUUUAUAUGGAAUUAUUCUGUACAAAUAUUCAUCUUAUUUAUUUAUUUAUUUAAAUGUUUUCCCUCUUUCAUUGAAAAUUAUUGCAGGUUGCCCGGUAAACUUCCUGUUGAAACUUUAUUAAUUCGUGGGUUCUUCUAGUAGCCCUUAGCCAGCUCUCUCUCUCUCUCUCUCUCUCUCUCUCUCUAGAUCAAAACGUUUUUAACAUUGCCCCCAUUGCUUAGCUGCUUAAAACUACAAACCCGCACGUCUCUGUGCUAAGAAAAUUAUCACAUCCUGAAACUGGUCAAAUUCCUCAGACAGUUUGGAUACAUUUAUUCUAAGAAAAUUCCAGACAUCCUAAUUCCAAGACCCAAGUAAACAUUUAUAGAAGCAAACGCAAGUUUAUGCUUCAAUUUGUUACCACACAACAUGCAUGGCAUAAUUCUUUUUCGAUAUUUAUAUAUACUUGCCAGAAAAGGAAUUUAUUCCCAUGAUGUGGCCCAAUUACAUUUCUUUUAAAUGGAAAAGAUAAAUAAAGGAAAAACACUAUAGUAGAUGAACAUAUCUAGCAGGACAUCAAAUAAUACAGUUUUAUUUCUCAAGGCAGUGGGAGGUAAGUCACUUAGACAAACUUCCGUGCGCUAAUGUACAAUUCCAUUCAAUACUUGGACUGGUAACCUCGUGGAUUGUUUACCGCCCACUUCCAUUGGUCCCUGCACAUAUCGUCUAUUCCGUAUUUUGCCCUGAAACCGAAGAUAUAAAAUUAGCGAAGAAGAAAAACUAUGCGGCGCCAGUCAUCAUCUUGAAGGAUCAAAAAGAAUGUUUUGCAUUUGCAUAAAAGAAGAGAUGAAAUCUACUUACUUCCACCCGAGUUCCCUUUCAGCUUUCUCUGUUGAAGCAUAAACAGCAGUAGCAUCUCCCGGCCUCCUUGGGCAUAGUUUGAUGGGGAUUUUCUGGGAUAUACACAAUUAAGACAAAGUUCCAUAAUGAAAAAUUGAUUGAGAAAAAGAAAGAGAUAGUGAUUUAAAGGAAUCGCACAAUCACCUUGCCAGAAGCCUUCUCGAAGCCAGCAACCAUUUGAAGCACUGACGUACCUUGUCCGGUUCCCAGGUUGUAGGCAACACAUCCUAAGACAUGAAAUUCUAUUUAGAACACCCAAAUGCCAAAGAACAUUACCACAAAUAUUUCUGACAUGAUAGAGUCAUUCAGAAACAUGACACUCAAGAUAAUAAGAACAAUCACCUAGAUUCUCUGUAGUAAAAAGCUUCUGAAGAGCAGCAAUAUGACCAUCCGCCAAGUCCAUAACAUGAAUGUAGUCUCUGAUCUGUGCAUAAUGAAGAGAAUAAUAAAACUGGUAAUUAGGAAAACAUGUGGAUUUAAUCGAUUGCAUAAGACUAACAAGAAAGUCGUGUAUUAGCAGCAUGCUGAAGGAUGAUUCUAUGAGUAUAAUAUAAAACCAUAUGCAGUCCAAGCCAAAAUAAAUUCAACACGGGACCAGUAGCUGGAUGUCAAUGAACAAGUGAAUUCUUGCCAAUCCUACCCAGUCAUCUUGAAGAAAAACAAUCUUGAUGGAUUUUACAUACCGCAGUACCAUCCUUGGUGGGAUAAUCAUGACCAUAAACAUUAAGCUCAGGCAAUCUUCCAACAGCUACUUGCUGUAUGUAAGGCAUGAGGUUGUUUGGGAUGCCUUUGGGAUCUUCACCAAUUUGCCCACUCUCAUGAGCCCCGACAGGGUUGAAGUACCUCAGUAGAAUAAUUUGCCAAUCUGGGUCUGCUAUGUGUAUAUCUCGAGCAAUUUCUUCAAGGAAAAGCUAGUAAAAUGGAGCAAAUCCUAUGUUAGAGAAGAAGGAAAGAAAGCCAUCUAAUUUUUAACUCAACAUUAAUUCAAUGUUUUGUGGAAGAAGAUAUGUUGUAUACCUUUGUACGGCCAUAUGGAUUCAAAGCUACAAGGUCAAAAUCCUCAACACAAGGAAUUUUUGAAGGUUGCCCGUAAACAGUUGCAGAUGAUGAGAAAACCAUCUACACUCACACAACAUCAUAUUCAUCACGUUAGUAGGUGGAAACAUGGGAACAUUUUACAAAAUCAAUGUCUCAAUGUUCAGAUGCUCAAUUCCUCAGAAGUACUUUAGAAAAGACGAAAAUAAAUAAGUUUUUUUUCUCUAAAUAAUGAAGCCAAUAAUUCAGAACAUCAGUAUGUUUAUAAUCCACUUUGUCCUUCUCUUUAGUUUUACUGGGGCAUAAGAGACAGUGAGAGAAACCAAUCGCCAGCACAGGCACAUGGGGGAAAGAAUGAACAUUUAAAACAUUGGUCCAAGUUCCAUUGGUUUCCAUUCCACACGGUUGCCAACAUAUGGAAAACAAAAUAGUAAUCUCUGAACCUAAUUUGAGGUCCAACUGCAGAACUCAGAAAAAAGAAGAAAAAAGAAGAAGAAGUUGAGAGAUCAAACCUUUUUACAAUUGUAUUUUGUCAUGAUCUCAUAGAGAUUAAUAGUGCCAACCAAAUUAUUAUCAUAAUAACGGCGUGGGUGAGCAACACUCUCUCCUACAGCUUUCAGGCCAGCAAAGUGGAUCACAGCAUCAAAUCUGUCCCAUUAUAAUCCAACAGCACAGUCAAAUACUUGAACGUUAUAAUUACAUACUAUGAUGUAAUUAAGAAAAUUACUCACUUUGUUUGAGAAAACAGCCUCUCCAAAUCGUCCUUAUUUCUGAGAUCACCCUGCAACCAAAAAAAAAAAGAAAGCAUAAGUAAUUGAAUUAAUGAGAACGAGGCCAAAGUGAAAACACAAAACACAGUGUUAGGCUUAUAAGAAACUAAGAAUUUUAUUGCAAUAAUUGGAGACGAUUCUAAACCAACUGAGCCGAGCAAGACUAUGUUCAACUUAAUUUCAAGAAACGAAGCACAGUUAUCAGGAAUCCAAAAUUCCCUUUCACAUUCACUCUAAUUCCCAAAAUAAGUAACAGAGCAUCAAGAAGUCAAAAUUUUCUUUUCCAAUUUUAAAAUUAUCUAGGGAACCAAACAGAGCAGCGUAAAGCCAAAGCAGCAAGUUCACUAAACAAGAAAAAGAGCAAAAAGACAAGAAAAAGAAGAAAAAGAGAAGCGGCCAUAGCCAAUGAACAAGUGAAAGUGAGGAUAGCGAUAUACCAAAUGAAAGUGGAGCUUCUGAGAGAGCUUAGGGCCGACCAAGUCCCGAACGCGAUCAACAGCUUCAAUGACGGAAUUGUCAAGAUUAUCAAGGAUGGAAACCCUAAACCCUGCUUCGAGAAGCUGAACCACCGUGUGGCUCCCAAUAAACCCCGCCCCGCCGGUCACCAGAAUCGUCUGCUCCAUUGACCCCAUGCUUCUUGCCUCCUCCUCCUCACACACUCACCACAAACGAACUCACAGAGAGAGAGAGAGAGAGAGAGAGAGAGAGAGCGAAUCAAGGAGGGUCGUUCGGGAAUUUCGGAUAAGCAAGAAAGUGAAGAAGAAAUGUGAAUUUGAAUUGGAAUUUAUGAGAUUAUUAUACUAUAUAUAUAUAAAAGAAAAAGGGGGAAAAUUCAGUUGAUUGGGGAAUUGGAUAAGAAUGAAUAAUUGAAUUACGUGAUUGAUGAUAAACACCCAAAAAAAAAAAAAAAAGAAGAAAAAACAGAGAAAAAAAUUGAAAAGGGUGAGAAGUUCAGUUGAGGUGAGUAGAGAGAAUAUAUGGAAUCAGUACAGUUUGUUUUGCUUGGCGCGUUUUUAAUAGAUCUUUCCUUUUCUGUUAUGGCGGAGCUGUGACGGUUGCAGUCGCGCGAGUAAAGCGCGUUUCGUACUCUCCAGUGCCAGUGGUAUUGGUAGUUUGCGAGGUCGAGGUUUGCGGAUUUGAAAUGGGUGUGAUUAGACUCUGACGUGGUCCAUCCAAUUUCUGUUUUUCCAGCGAAUUUGGAUAUUUUUGUUUUCCUUAAAUUGCUUUUUCUUUUAUUUUUUUCUUUUGAAAGCGAUAUUGUUUUUUGUAAAGUUUGUAACGAACGAAUUUGACAUGGUUUGGUUGGCGUGCCGAAUAUCGUAUCCUAUACAUCUUUUUGGAAUAUAAUGAUAAUUAAUAAAUAAAUAUGGGAAUUUUGGCUUUUCCUUUUUGGGGAAUGAGGAGAUAGAGGACUUUUAGAUUUAGGAACAUUUUUUAUUUGACAAAGUAAUGUUUCAAACUAGUCUAAUGUAUAGAGAGUGGAAUAGCAAUCGGGUGCAAAGGACGAGCACACCAUCUUAAGUGACCUAAACUACAUCUACUUACUUAGAACAGCGGAGAGUUUGAACAACUGAAAUGAAAGAAAUUAACUCCUUUAAUGUGAAGAAGCACACACUAAAGCACAUCCAUUUUGGGCAAAAAUUUGAACCGUGGAAAUUUGGCUUCUUCUAAAAGUGUCAAGGUUAACCUAUACACCAACGUUAACGUCUGAUGAAGUAGCAUGUGCAGAGAAAAGUUGGCCACAUUUAGUAACACCUGAAUCAUUUUCGGCGUCGAAUUCACGUUCCAGGCACCUUCCUAGAGAUUUAACGGCAGCUGAAGAAGCAUCAGGUCUUCUGGAACUUCUCUUUCUUAUGAUGGAAGGAGUAUUUUUGAAACUCAAUGCCAAGUUCUUCAGUCUCGACCCGGGACUGCUGCCACUGCUGAGAUUCACAUUAACAUUCUGCGGACGGCUUUGGGGUGUAGAGUAGCAGGAUGGACUCUCAAGGGGGGAGGACCGGGUAGAAGCAGAUGCACCCACGAAAACCGAUGAAGAGGCUGAUAGAGGGCUGUGUUUGGAAGAUCCACUUGUGAUUAGAUUUGUCAAACUACUUGCUCCUCUAUCUGAUGAUCUGCAUUUCUGCACUUUGACAGGUUUCCAUUCUGAACAAAGUUCAUGUCUAUAAGAACAUCCAAGAGUCAACUCUGUAGAGCAAGCGCUAUCACUAAUCUCCAACCCUGUUCUCUGAUUGAGUGAGGCCAGUCUAUCAGAAAUCUGUCCGGCUGGGUUAAUCUCGACAAGGCCCGAUCUUAAUUCACCGUUCCAGACAUCAGGAUGCAUAUCCACAUCACAACCAUUAGGUGAGUAUGAAUCUAAUUUUCUCUUCAGUGUGCAGUUCCAGUGAUUUUUAAUUGCAUUGUCAGUCCUGCCAAUUUCAAUACAGAUGAGAUGAGUGAGUGCAUUCAACAGAAGGAGCCAAUCUCCCCAUUUGAAUUGUGUUAAUAAACAUAAAUUACACAAUCAUUAAUGAUAUAUCUAUGUUCAUAGUAAACUGUAUCUUCACCAGCAAAUAGUACACAAAUAGUGCAUGUCUAAAAUCCAAAAUUUGACCAAUUUAAUAAAUUAAUCCCUAUACAAGUGAUACAUAAUCCAGAUUUUUACCUCAUUUGCACCACAUACAAUCACAGGAAAAAAACCCAUGUACAUAUAUGUUCAAGUUCCCAAAACAUGUUGGUCAGUCUUCAAUUAAUGAAUUCAUCAUAUACAAAUAAACACAAAAUCAUACUUUCAUCCCAUCUGCUUUCAGUUAUUGUAUACCUUCCAGGUAGAAACCUGGCUAUUUCUGCCCACUUGUUACCAAAGAGUUGGUGGUAGUAAGUAAGAACCCACUCCUCUUCUUCUGUCCAUGCAUUUCUAUUUAUAGCCGGGCAUAAGUGAUUGUACCACCUGAAAGUAAUUAUUAACUUCAUUAUUGUCUAGUAUAUAACCUGCAUAGCUAACUAUUACAAAACACAAUGGAUGUGAACCAUAGAUUUGCAGAACAUAUGUUGAUUGAAUGGUACUUGAUGCCAAAAGUUUGAUGCACUGACUAGAAAUCGUUGCUGCCUACCUUUCUCGGCAUUGCUUGCCCAUUCGACCUGGUAAGAACUUUGCAAUAACAGACCAUCUUUUAGCACCAUGACUCUCAACUUGUUUGAUUAUGCAGUUGUCUUCCUGAAAUCCAGAUAAAGGAACAAAUAUCAGUUUUCCUUCAAUUAGUUUGUUCAGUCAACUUGUUUGUCCGUGCUUCUUAGUUUGUUUUCUCAUUGAUCACAUAUCAGUUUAGCAUAAAGUAAAAGCAUGAUUUCCCCAUUGUUAUAAAAGCAUGCAAGAGUGUUAUGUUUGCACCUCCUUUGUCCAGGGUCCCUUCACAAUUUCAGGAUUUAGAACCUUUUGCCAGCGCUGCAGGCACUGAACAUCUGUGCGCCCAGGGAGACACGCAGCUGCAGGACAUAAGGAAGCAAUCAAAUCACAAACUUUGCAUCAGGAAACUUUCAAAAAACUAGAAGCACACUUUUGAAAACCAACUGAAAGACAGUGGCAUGCCCACCUAUUUCCUUCCAAUUACUCCUGUUAAACUUUCUGACCAGCUCUCCUAGAAGAUUGUCCUGCCAUAACAAGAAGUCAAUUGAUUAAUAAAGUGAUUAAUUUCUGAGAAGCUAAGGAGACUAAAAUAAAGUCUCCACGUAGACUAAACCAACAUUAUAAAUAUAAGAACUUCUGUAUUUCCUUCUUCAUUAACAAUGUAUCUAAAACUUACAUGCUAAACUGGCAUUACAGAACUACCAAACUAAGGAAUUUUCACUACUGACCUCUUCCUCUGUCCAGCAUUUCGCUGACCGUCUCAUCGGACCAGUGGCUCUCCUAGAACAGCAAAGCAGACCAUUCAUCACAGUAAAGUAUCAAAUUAAGCAUUUACCCAAAACCAGAAAACUCAUGACCAAAGAAAAAAUUAACUCAAAUGGCAAUAAGGCAUAACCAAGUAAAUUGUAAUAUGAGGAAAAAGGCUAAUUGAAGAAUCAGAUGCCAUCAUAAAUAUGCCCCUUCCAUGUAAAAAGUUAAUUGAAGCAACAUACCGAGUAGCAGAGCUUGGCUUGGACGCAGGCGAGUUAAAACAGCCUUCAGUUUCAUAUAAUGCUUGCAAAAGGAAACCAAUUUUCUCGUAUGGAUCCACAACCACCUCCUGCAGCUGCUCCUUUUUCACUUUCGCCAUGAUCUCUUAGAAAAAUCAGUUUUCCUCAACCUUGAACAUAUUACAAGCAGAAAACAAGCCCUAAAUCAGUUAAAGUUAAAGUUUUGAUCGUACUAGAAAAUUCAACAUUCUGUUUGGUUCCUGAGAAAACAAACUAAUUGAAGGAAAACUAAAAGCGCCAAUUGAUCUCACAAUUGCAUCAAAGCCAGUAAUUUGAGUGAGUAUAAUGAAAAAGCGACAAAAUUUUGUCAUAUUUUCCCACAUUUUCUCACCAACCAAACAGAGCAGCAGAAAUUUCAACGAAUUGCAAAAUGAACCAUCACCAAUUGCACAAUGAAUCACAUAAUUGAACCAAAACAAACACAAAAAAUAAGGAAAUGCAAGAAACUUAAAACCACAAAAUUAAAAUCCGAACCUUGAAAAAGAAAGCUUCGAGGGUUUCUGAGUGUGUGAGAAUCUAACAGCCAAAACUACAGAAAGCAGAAAGAAUACCGAGCUGGUUUUAAGCAAAGGCAGUGUGAAAUGCGAAGGGCAGGACUUUUGGCGGGAAAGUUGGGAGCUUCUAAUUUUGAGCGAGUGGAAGCGAAAGCGGUUUUUGUUUGUUUUCUCAGUGGUGAGCUCUCUUUCUGAGAGAGAAAAGUCAGAAAUGACUGAGUGAAAGAGAGAGAGAGGAUUUGUGGUUGUAUUUAUUUAAGCGUUUUGGAGAAGUAGCUUACGCUGGAAGCUGAUGGCCAAGAAGGGAAGCUUUGGUGUUGUAUUUGAAGCGUUUUCAAGAAGUAGAUUGCGUUGGAAGUUUGAUCAACCGACGGCGGUUGUUUCAUCGCGUUUUGGAGGGUAGGAAACGUUUGAAUUCGUUAAUUGGAUAUGGGCUUUUAGGUGGACUCCAUUUCGGCCCAAUACAAUCUUGAUGUUCCUUCAUCGAUCUCGUCAAGCCAAAACUCAUCUUAUAAACGUGUAAAAAGCCACAUAUAUGAACAUCAUAUCUCUCUCAAAUUUUUCUACCAAAUGUCAAACACGUAAUUUAUCAUAUAUGUAAAAUUUCACAUUUUCUUUGUUUUAUUUUUUCUUUUCCAACCCAACCCCACGUCCAAAACCAAGCCCACCAUCACACAUUGAAAGUGGAACUCCAUCUAUUAGGAAGAAAAAACACACACACACACACACCUAGUAAAGUGUUUGUGUUGAGAACGUACGCACAAAAUAUGACUAGAUAUUUGUUGAAUUCAAUUUGUUGUUUGCAACCCAUCAAGCUUAUAAACUUGCUAGUAGGUUGAAUUCAGUUUGUGGUGCACUAUGAUUGAAUAUUGUGGAAUUCUCUAGACAAAGCCACAAACUUGUCGGUGGACUUGGUGAUGUCUCGGCAAACAUGCAUAUGUUACCAAUCUAAGAUGGAGCUAAGGCCAAUUAGUCUAUACAAAGCUAUGUAACCUCUUGCAGGGGAGGUGUCAUCAACUCAGAUACACGGGCUGCAUGAACCUCCCUUGGUUCUACGAUGCCCUGGUAGUGUCUUGAUCAUCAAAUAUAUAAGCGCAAAUGCGUAUGUCUUCUCAAGUCUCACCAAAAGUCAUAAAGAAAGAAUCAAUGGUCCUUCUUUCAAUAUGAUUUGUAGCUAGGAUCCUUCGUCGCAGAUAUGAUUCAAACUCAUGAAACUAUUGUCCUGUACUUCCUAAAUCCCUUCACUUACGAACCAACAAUGAUAUCAGAGCAACACGACUCAAAAACCAACACAUAUGCACUUCUCUAUUUAAAACACAAACCUACCUAUUGUAAUUCAUCUAUAUCACCCUCUCCAUUUAGAGGCUUAUAUUUGAAAGGGUGAAAAUUUACUAACUGAAUCUUACAUAAAAAGUAGUUAACAUGAGUAAAGGCUUCAUCGAUCAGAUCAAGCCAAACUGAUCUUAAAAACGUGUAAAGAUUUGUGCUUAUAUGAAAAUAUCACCUCUUUAUUAGUUUUGUGUACCGAAUGUCAACCACGUAAUCACACCUCCACAAGAAACGACCCCAACCCAAAACGGCAAACCCUACACAAGCUCAAACACUAUAAAUAAGCCAACCGCCAAAAUGAGUCUUUUCAUCUACGCUCCUCCUCCUCCCUCAUCCUCUCUACUACUCCACCGAAUUUGGAGUAAAGGUUUGAUGGACGCUAAACGUGAGUCCUGGAACCACCAAAUAAUUUGGCCCCAAACCUACUGUGCGUAUUCGACAACUCAUGUCACGACUGCACGGCUGGUGCCAAAUCGGUGAUUGCGGAGGACUCCUCCAGGGCAAAGCCUAUGGUUCAUCCCCAAACACCCUAGCCGAGUAUGCCCUAAACCAAUUUGGCAACAUGGACUUUCACUUGUAGAUAUGGAAUUUAGUUCCACGUCUAAUGGGUUCACUAGGGAACUGACUGUUGCACUUCUGGGAAAUGUGCGAAUACAAAUUGGUCUAAGUUUUUUAAGGAUCGGUGUAGGGAUGCUUACCCUAAAGAUGAUCCAACCAGCACUUUUACUUGUUCUGGUGGGACUAAUUACAAGGUUGGUUCCGAGUACACCACGUGGCUGGUGUACUAUCCAAUAGACAUAGGACAUAUGGAAUUAUUCUCCAACUUACCGCGUUGCUUUUUAUGACCUGUGACUGGCUGUAUUGGAAAUAUUCCACAUGUCCUAUAUCUAUUGGAUGGUACACUAGCCACGUGGUGUACCCGGAAUACCAAAAAAUUGUUCCUUAGGAACACACCAAAAAUCUGAGCCAAUCCAACUAACACCCCAUUAGUGUAUCAAAAGUAAUACAUUGAUUUUAGAUGAUUGACUGUGUCAAAUUCAAAAUAUUACAUUAAGUAUUUUAAAUACAUUACACCUAUGCAACUCACUAAAAUGUUAGCAAAGAAAUGUUAAUUAAUGUAUAUGUUGACUGAAAAUAAUUUCUUGAGGUACCUUUCCUUUCUUCUUUAUCUCUCCAUCUCAUCAAAACUCAUGUUCAAUUCAUCAUCUGCCUUCGCAUGGUCUUUGAGUUUGGUCCUUGAGAAUCUCACAUGAGAGAAAAGAGAGCAAACAUGAACCGAGGACAACCUCCCAUAAGAACAUACGCCUUGAAGAAAUUAUGGCAAGUCCUCCUCAGUUCAUAUCCACUCUCCAUCUCUUCAUGCAAGACUAUUAGACAAAUUAAUGGAAUUAUAAUGAUCUACCACUCCAUUUCAUUAAUUUUAUGCAGCCUUGCUAUCCAAUUUAUAUGCAAAUAUUGCAAACGACAUGUUUGCAGUUCUUUUAUUAUUAUUCCAUUAAACAUGUGCUGUAAUAAACCGAAAUAUGAGCUGAGGAUGACUUGCCAGGAUUUGUAGGCAAACAUUGCACACGCCGAUCGAGUUUGCAGUUAGGUUCUUUCACUAUUAUUCCAUUGAAACGUACUCACCACAUAGAAUGCUUUCUUAAGAAUCAAAGAAAUGGACGCAUGGAUAAAAUCAUAGCAACAUUUGUGGGCUUGGCCUUGGGCCCUCGGGUUCUCUUACGAAAUUUAGUAUUGCAAUAUUAUUGGUCCCUUUAAACAUGCAUUCUGUUCUGAAUCUUGUUUUUUAUUUCCUUUUUGGUAAAAGUUCAAGUUCUUUUAUUCCUCAUGUAUACAUAUGUAUUCCUUCAUUUCCUUUUAGAUCAAUCAUGGGUUUCAUUCGGUCUCAAUACCUAAAAAUAAAAACAAAUAAAAGACGAAGAAUAUCAAAUUCAACUAAAUAUUGAAAAUACACGAACUGUGAUUUGUACCACAUCAACUGACAACGUAUUGUAUUAUAUCUCUAAUAGAAAUAAGUAGAGAAAUAAUUAUUUAUUCCAUUAGAGGCAUAAAUCAUCUGUUGCACAGCUGUACCUAAAUCUCCACAACUCGCAUUGUGGAACGUACUUGAAAGAAUUCCUCUUUAUUAAUUCCAGUCAUCCAUCCAGUGGGAUCUGAAGUGGGACCAAAUAAGAUCUUGAGCUGGGCCUGAGUUUGUUCUUUUUCUUUUUUCUUUUCAUUUUAAAGUUUUCGUCAAAGUGAGAAUAAUUAAGCAUCGCCUACUAUCAUCAAUCACCAUCUCUGCCUAUAUACAUGGGCCAAACGCGUCAUAACAAUCCCAAGGCCACCAUACAUCAAACAAUGAAAAUGGAAAACUAUUUAUGAAAAAAUCACAGCAAAGUGUGUGUCGAGAACACAAAAAAUAUGAAAAGAUCAUACAAGUCAUGUUUUUAUACCUUAAAACAAUAACUGAUCAGUUUGCAUGAUAUGCUACAAUAAGAUAAGAUAUUUCAUACUUACUAAUAUGUUAGAGUGACAUAACUUUUAAUGCUUUAUCUUUCUCCGCACAAAUAUUUAAUGAUUUAUAUAAGAUAUUGGGGUGAAUUAAAUACGUUUGGCAAUUGAAACGUCGAAGAUGCCGUAUACAGAGGGAAGCAUCAAUUUGAGGUAUACUUGCCCUCCCCGCCAUAUACAGAGGGAAUACGGAAGAAAAAUGGAGACAGAGAAGGUAGGGUUUAAAACAGAUAUGAAUGAAUAAAGAGACAUAGUAGAGUGGGUGCUUUGCGAGAGAUAAUUGAGGAGGACAUACAAACAAAAUGUGUUUCUUUCAACCUAGUUGGUAGAAAUAAAAACGUGAUUGAGAUGACUCAGUUGCAAGUUGGCUUGAUAAACACGGAAAUAUCUAUUUAAUAACAUUUAAUAAUUUAAACAAACCAACACCAACCCUAAUUCACCCACCUCCACUCAAUUUGAAUUCUCCUAGUCAGAAUGUUUAGUUGGGUAUGUGUUAAAUCCAUUUAAAUGAUGAUUUUUAAUCUUGUUAUAUACAAUAUAAAGUUUCUUUUCUUUUUUUAAAAAAGUGAUUAAUUGUGAAUUAGUUACUCUUACAGUCUAAUCUAUUGAAAUUCAUGUCGUCUAAUGUGUAUCUGAACUGCCGUUAUUGAUAUAAGAUUUUCAUUUUUUAAAGACACCUUACUAAUUCAUAAUUCCUAUUGGCUUAUAUUUUUAUAGGGUUAUAUUUAUAUUUUUAAGAUUAAAUUUCUCGUUUUGUAGAGCAUUUUCAAUAUUCUAGCAAGUUUCCUAGUAUUCAUAGUAGAGAUAGUGAGACAAGAGAAGAGAAGAGAGUAGGAUAGAGGUUAUAUUAUAUAAAUGGUGGGUGAUUAAGUAUUUAAGUUGGAUAAAAAAGAAAAUUAAUUUGGUGAAAUUACCAUGAGGUCCUUAAUCUCAAAGUCCAUUCUUAAAGUUAUUUAAUCUAGAAAGGGUAAUUUUGACAUUAUCAAAAGACUUCCGAAUUUCAAAAAGUUUGAACGCCAACUUACUUUUGAUUGAAGAAUAUUUGUUGUGCAUUUCUAAUUUCUAUAUUGUUAAAUUUCAAAGAGACGGGCCAUUGGCCAACUACUAACAACACCGAUAUUGUCUCCAACUUAACCACCUAUAAAGCCUAAUAAGUGCGGGGUUUUAUCACAAAAGGCCUCAAUGAUAUUAGUAGUGGAACCAUUCAUUAUAUAUUGUAUUUUAUUUAAUCAAGUUUCCGAUGUGACACUUAUUCUUCAACACGCCCUCUCACUUGGGACCAUCACAUAGAAGGCCACACAUGGAACCAAGUCCACAUCGGAGUCAUACAUUCAAGCCCAACAAGUGAGCACCACGUAUUGGGUAAGGGUAAACAUUUAAGCCCAAGAUGUGAACACUACAUAUUGGGUAAGGGUAAAGGCCCAAUUUAGGCCCAGUCAAUCAACCCGCUCUGAUACCAUGUUAAAUUUCAGAGAGACGGGCCAGCGGCCCACUACUAACAACACCAAUAUUGUCCUUAAUUUAACCACCUACAAAGCCCAGUAUGUGUGAGGUUUUAUCACAAAAAGCCUCGGUGAUAUUAGUAGUGGAACCAUUCAUUAUAUAUUUUAUUUUAUUUAAUCACGUUUCCGACGUGGAACUCAUUAUUCAACAUAUAUAAUUGACAAUCUGGUAAAAGGGUCAUGAAUUGUAAACCAAUGGUCUAGCUUGGUGGAAAAAGGGUCUAACCAAAUGAAAAAGGAUCUUAACUUGUAGACCAGUGGUCUCAUGUUCGAAUCCUUAUGACACUUUGGUAUUGUAUGUGUGUACGUGAGAGAGAGACCCCUCCUCACGUAAUUUAGACUAUAUUACUUAUAUUUAAUCAUGUAAAAAUAAAUAAGAAUAAUUAAGCAAGUUAAUUUUCAUGAGGCCCAGAAUUAUAGACAAUUAUUGACAGGACCCGAUCCAAAUUUCGCUUUGGAAUCCGAACCAGACCCUGUGCGUGUCCGACACCUGGCGAAUGUCGGGCACAAAUGACCUAUUUGCCCUUCUAUACAAAACACGAUAAAAAUAACAAGGUUGACUUCUACCGAAAAACCGGCAGAGUUUCCCUUGUAACUGGCUCAAUACCAAAAUAUUUUUACCUGCCAAACAAGUAUAUAUAUAUAUACAACCAAUUGCCAGCAUACGUAUAUAUACAUUCCAACAGUUCAAGUGUCAAUCUAGGGCAAAACAUCAGAGCGACUACUAAGAAAUUACAAAGGAGUGAAUCUUUGUACAAAAUACAAAUCCUACAUCAGAAGAAAGGCGCGGAAGAUAGAAAGUGGUCCGGUGGUGGAUUCCUGUGCACGUCUAUUGCCCGGGGGCGCAAAACAACAAAAAUGGUGAGUGGACCCAAAAACAAAGUUUAGAAAAUACCAUAUGAACAUACUAACCCCACUGUAAAAACAGUUAUAGCUUAUUUUCUUUACUUAUGAAAUCAAUGCAUGUAUAUAACUAUACAUUUGAAAACAGUUGAAAACUAUCACUUAGGUGUACCCCUAUUUCCGUCAAAUCCUUAUAUCCGUCAAUUCCUUGCAUCACCAUGGGUGACACAUAAUCACAGGUCUCAGUGACACGAGGUCAGUUUGAGCUGCAACUCGCAGGAUUUAGGGAACCGUAGUCCACCUUUAUCCGCAUUACUCGCUCCACAUGAGUUUGAGUACCAAGGAACUCGUGGGGCAACUGCCAAGCAUGCUGACUAAACCGAAGGCAACAAAUAUAAUCCGAAGGCAACAUAUAUAAUCCGAAGGCAACAUUUAAUAUCUGGGUACAAGGUGAUUUAAGAAAAUAUAAAGUUUCUGAAGGAAAUAUGUUGAAUAUUUAACUUUCUGUAACCUUUAAAAUUCUGCUGCCAUUUAUCUAAUAAUUAACGAGAAUAUCUUUUCCUAUAUUCUUUAAAGGAAAUUUCACUCGGCAGCAUGCAACAUAAAAUAUUUAACAGAAUAAAACAGCUGAUACUGAAACUGAACUGCUUAAAUUCAUUUAUUAAAACAAAGAGUCCACUCACAGAUAGUCUGAGCUCGCUGGACCUCUUGAAGGUCCCUCCUGCGGUUCAACUGGUGCCCGGGUGCCUGAUUCAAUGACCAGAAUAUUCUAUUAAUACAAUAUAGUAUCAAAGUAAAAACCCUACCCCCGGCUCUUAAAAGUACGUGCAUCGAUUUAAAGUGAUCCCUAUGCCCAUAAAAGCUUUCCUUCCAUGUGGGGUUGUUUAGCGGUAUCUUGGGACUCAAAUAGCGCUAAAGUCCAAAAAGUCAAUCCGGAACCUAACGGGUCCAUGACCUCGCAAUAUGAUCCGGAUGUCGCUAGAAGGUCCAAUAUAUUUAGGACACCUGUCCCGAGGGUAUUGGUGUAAAUCGGACGGUCGGAUCGAUCACAAUCCUGUAAUCGCAUAAUUUCUAAACUCUAGCCCUAGGGUUCGCGUUUUCAGAGUAUUCGGGACUCCGAUUCACGAUCCGUCGAAUCCUACACGUGUCUGAAAUUAGCGAGAGUAACAUAUCUAAAAUUGAUUACGAUCCAACGGCUCAACAGUAUUGAACCCGAUAAUCGCACAAUAUGGAAAAUCCGUUCGAGGCUCAAACGAUAUCCAAAUUGAGAUAUGCGAAUUUCUAUGCGCUCGUGACGACCUAAGGAUCGCAUCAGAAUACAGUGUCACGGCACCACCCUCGCCCACGCGCCGCCGCACGCGCGGGCAGCGAUGGGUGUCCAAAGCGAUAACGCAUCGCCGAAAAAUCGCAAAACCAAGGCUCCAAACUCCUAUCCUAGGUAUAACACCAUAUUUGGAACCACUUUUGUUCUUGGGCCAACCCCAAAAACUGACCGGAAGUGGCCGAACACAGAGGCCGAAAGUCGGCCGAAUACCAAUUUGAAAACUGAGCUAGCUACGGUGAAAAUCAAUGCAAACCUACCCAACCAUCAGCUAGAGCAUGGAAAAUAGGUAGAAAUCCAUACCUUAAUCGACAAAUUUGGAGGAGAAUUGAAGGAGAACGAACUGGUUGAAGUUUUGACAAAACCGGCGGAAUUUCUGCCGUUUUUGGCGACUGGCGAGCGGCUUGCGGCGGGAGUGAGCUGCGACCUGACGGCAGGGUCUGGCCGGUCAGGUUGGUACCGGUGUUGGGGCUUGUGGUGGCCGGUAGUGGUGGUUCUGAAAUCUGGAGGGCGUCGGACGGAAGAAAAACCAGAGAAGGAGGAGGACUCGCGGGGAGAGAGAAAGAGAGAGAGAGAAAGCUGAGGUUUUUAUAAAAAAUCUGAUUUUCCUAAUUAGCAUUUUGCCCCUCGUGAUAUUUUACUCGUAUUUUCUUCGUUAAAGCUCCGAUUCGAGCUCACUUCGUGUCUAUGAACUCGUGUCGUCGUGCUCUACGCAACGGUGUAUGUGGAAUUAUCAAAUUCCUUUUCGGUCAAAAAGUCAACUUUUUGUUCAUAAUUUAUUCCAAGGGCAAAAUUGUCUUUCCGCAUAAUAAAUUACUAAUUAAAUAUGAAUUUUAGGUUUGGGUCAUUACAAUUAUUGUCUUUUUUAAUGGGGUAUUGAAUAGGCUGGUUGCAAUAGAAAUAGGCAUGCAUGCAUAAAGGGCUUGGGAGAGAAUUUUUAAUGUUUUUUAAAGUGCCAUUAAAACCUUCAUCAACAUAAAAGAUGCGCUUGAAACAGUCUUAUUAACCUAGAUUCGACUAAAUUCGAGGGAACUAGUCCCUGAAUCUAGUAGGCUAUUUUUUAUUGUGUUUUGGCUAACCAUAAAUGCGUGAGUAGUGUUGCGUGUAGUUUUGGCGUUUUGAUGUGUUUUAAAGUGGUUUCCUAUGAUAGGAUCCGCCCUGAAUUCUUCGGAACUCAAGACGAAAUUCUGUGAAAAAAUUCCGACAUCACCCCGGUGCCGAGCCCACUUACUAAUACUAGAGCCCCUUUCUUAUUUAUUUUAUUUUAUUUUAUUUUAUUUAUUUAUUUAUUAAGGAAAGGGGCACGAGACUUUCUGCCGAAAUUUCGUCAGAGUCUCCCCUGUAAAUUAGACUUUACCAAAUUUUCCAACAUUUUAAACAGACACAGUUUAUUCACAACUGGCAGCAUGCAUCAGAUAAAUCAUACAAUUUACAUAUAGGGCUCCGGCCUUCAAAUUAUUCGAAGCCGAACCACCAUCAAUGCUCUUAAAUCAAAUAAUGAAAUUAAACAAUGCAAUUAGUGAAUUCAAACUAAUUAUGCAUGCUAACUGUAAUCCACUUAAUAUAACUUCUCGAUUUCCAUCAUGUGAUAUUUGACAACCAACCACAAUCGCAAGUAGAUUAAGGACUCGGUCUAAAUCGUACAACGAUCCAAAAUAGGUUCCAAAACUAUCUUGACCACAACCACAUUUCAACAACACUCACUUAGCCAAAUGGGAAAACGAAAAAUCAAUCAAUCAAGCCUCGUUUUCAAACGAGUUUAAUGACCAUCGACAAAGUCGAAACCAAAUUCAUCCAAAGACCAAAAUAACUUUAGUUCGCGGCUGCACCCGGGUGGGACCCCAGGCUACUUACGUACCCUUACUGAGGGAUCAAGCCACACAUAGUUCUUACAUCCAUAAUCACGAACCAGAUGAUAUACAACCAUUUUCAAUAGUACAAAUAAGUUAUUUCUUGAAUUAUCUUUCCCUUUUACUUUAAAUCACAACACACCAAACAUAAUUCUUUUUAAACAUUAAUCUAUCCUCGACAUAGUAAAAUAAUCCAUUUUUCCUCUCUUUGUUACUUUACUAUACACCGGAGAGUCCAACGCCACACGUAGUAAAGUACGAUAAUCCAAGUGUACGGAUCUUUUACCAAACACCAGAUAAUCCAACGCCAUGUGUGGUAAGGUAACCAUCAUCCCAAUGAGCACAUACGCCGGAAUAUCCAACGUCACGUGUGGCCCAACUAAACCAUAUAUGCCCACACGCCGGAAUCAUCCAACGCCACGUGUGGGUACAACCCAAACCAUGUUCUAUGCGCGCAGACAACUUCAUCACACCUCGGAUCAUUCCAACGCCACGUGUGAUAAUCCAUAACAAAUCAUAAUGUCUCACAUGCCGGAAUAUACCAAUGCCACAUGUGAGAUCCAAUAAUCAUAUAUUUUCCCACAUGCCGAAAUUUCUAACGCCACGUAUGGGAAAUCCAGUAUCUGAGGGAUGGUACUUAACAUAGUGUAACUAUAUAAUUUCCAAAAUAAUCAACAUUAUUUAUUAACUUAAUUCACCAUAAUUCAUCCAAACCUCAUCACAAAUAAUUUGAAUAACUCAACAUAAACUCAUCACCAAAGCAAAUCAAGCUCUCAAAUCUCGAGAUAAACCAAUUCACAAUUAAAUAAUACUAAUACAAAUAUAUUUCAAUUUCUCAAAUUUUCAUUCAAACUAUAUUUCAUGCAUAUUCAUUUAAUUAUUGAAAAUAAUGCACGUUUUAAAACAAAAUCCACUUAAUUACGAAUAAUCAUAGCCGAGCCCAAGACUCACUUUCACAACCCACCAAUCCGAUAUUCCAAACUCACCCAUUCCAUAACUUCAGUUGUCAAUAACAAAAUCCAAGAAUUUCUAUAAGAUACUAUAAAACAAACUCCUAAUCCCAACAUAAUUAGGACAACUCCAAUAACGGUCAAGACUCGCUUGCAUGGUCGUUCUAGUACUUCUCAAAGGAUAAAACUACCUCGGAAGACUCACGGUCAACCGAGUGGUCUAACUACCCAAACUUGGUCAAUCGGGCCCACGGGGUCCACGAUCUCCGAUUUCUGAUCUGAAAGUUCCUACGGAUUCCACAAGGUUCAGGAUACACGUUCUGUAAGUUUGGUCCGGAUCGGACGGUUGGAUCGCUCAUGAUCGCACAAUCGGAUGGUUAUCGUAAGACGCAAAUUUUAAGUUAUUGAAUUGGAACAUUCGGGGCUUUGAUUCACAAUCUGCGAAUUCCUACACGAUCCUAGAGAUGCCUAGAUCAACAUAUAUUGAAAUGGAGUCGAUCCAACGGUUUGAGCAUAUCAAAUCUAGAUAAUGCCUAAUAUGUGAUAUCCGAUCGAUGAUUAAAUGAUAACUAGAUUUAUAUCCGAGCAUACCGACGUGGUCGGGAUGAUAUGAGAAUUAUUUUAGGACUCAAGGACUGGUCAAAAAGUGGCCCACACGCCGCUACACAAGCCGGCAGCGUGUGGCUGUCCAAAGCGAUUCUUGAGAUUGGAAAAUCUCUAAACCGCCGGUCAAGACUUAUACCUACACGAUCAGCACAUAGAGUGGAGCAAUUUUUGUUUGGACCUACCCUAAAAAGUCAACAGAAGUGGCCGAAAUCGGCCAAACUUCCAUAGCUUAUUUAACCACCAAAAUGCAGAAAUUGAUCCUAAACAACACAACUAACAGCUAGAACACAUUAAAAGGGUGAGAAAACAUACCUAGAUCGCAAGAUUUGGUAGCCGGAAUCGCCAGAACGAGCUCCGAAAAAUUUGGGUAAAAAUCGGCUUUGUUUAUGCAAUUUCCAGCGAUCGUGGUGGCUGUCGGCUUCGGGAAUGGAAGGAGGAGGAGCUGGCGGUGCUUUUGGGGUUGGUGCCACCCCAAGCGAUGGCUGGAGGAAGCGGUGGCGACAGUAAAACCGUUGCCGUUGUGUGUACGCAGGGGAGGGUAUCACACGGGAGAGAAAAGAGAGAGAGAGAGAGAGAAAUGAGGGUUUUUUCUGAAUUUAAUUAAACCCUUUUUGAAAUAAUUACGAUUAUGCCACUAAAGGUAUUUUGAUCGUAACUUUUUCGUUACAAAUCUGAUUCGAGCCUACUACGCAUCUACAAACUCAUCUCGGUACGAUCUACAUAAUAAUACCACUAGCUACCCCAAAAUUCUUCUAGAUUAAAAAGUGACCAAAAUACCCCUACUUUGAAAGCAAAAUUGUAAAUUCAUAUUAAAUUAAAUUAAAUUAAUUAAUGAAUAGUCUUAUUUUGGGUCAGGAUGUUACAUCCUAUUAUUUUGGAAUUUUAUAGCCUAAUUUAAUAGGGUUUUAGUUUUCUAUUCCUAGUAAACUUGUAACCCAAGUCUUAUGAGAUAUAAAUAGGACUUUUAGGGUUGAUUUAAAUUAGCUGACCAAAAGAGUGGUAGGGGAAUUUAGAAGAGAGAGAGACACAAGAAAAUUGAAGAGGGAAUUGUAGGGUGUUUACAAGGGCAUUAAAUGGUUUGAGCAAGGGUGAGAGAAAAGAUAGUUAGGGUUCUUGUGAGAGCUAAGAGGGUUCAAGAUUGUAACCAAAGUUGUUCUUACAUACUAGUGAAUUUCUAAGGCAGAUCACCAAGAUGAUGUAGGCACGAGGCCUAACCUCUAUAAAUCUUUUUGUUCUUGUGCGUUUUCUUACUCACUUCGUGGUGUGUGUGUUUUAUUCUCAAAGGGGUUUGUGAGUGUGACGUCGCAUAAUUCAUCAACGAUAAGGUCUUGGAAUGUUUUCACACAACAAGUGGUAUGAGAGUCGCAGUUGCGGUGAGUAUUGAUUUAUGCCCAAGAGCUCUUACAGUUUUAAGGGUGACGGUAUGUUGACGAUGGCAUACGACAAUAAGACACCACAACCGGUGGCCAGUGUAAAGGUCGAGUUGAAACACUUCACCGGCAAGGAGAACUUUACACUUUGGCAAAUGAGAAUGAAGUACAUCCUUAAUGAGCAUGUUCUCAGUGUUGUCUUAGCAGGCAAGGAAAAGAGCCGAAAACCUUGACUGAUGCGUAGUGGGAAGACCUAGUUUAGCUUGCUAAGAGGUUCAUCAAAUAACAUCUCAUGGAUGACGUGUUGUGUAAUGUGAUAGAGGAAAUCACGAAGCAAACAUGGGAAAAGUUAAGAGAGAUGUUUACGUCGAAAUCAUUGUCUAACAAGCAUUUCUUGAAGGAUGAGGUUCUUACUCUUCGUGUGAAGGAUGACAGAAACAUGAUGAAGCAUCUGAGUACCUUUAACAUGUGUAUUGCAAACUUUCAAUGGAUUUAUGAGGUUUAUAAGUUAGAAGAUAAGGUCGUGUUGUUAUUGACAUCCUUGCCUUCGUCUUAUAAGCACUUUCGAAUGACGCUUAUAUUCGGCCAGGGAACUUUGAAGUUUGAAGAGGUGGUGCAAGACUUGAAGUACCACCGGAUGGUUCAAUGUUCCAAAGGAGGCUCUCAAAGUGAAGGUCUUGGGGUGAGGAUUGGAGGGUGGGACCAUUCAAGCAAGCACGAGGGCAAGACAAGCAAUGGUAGGAAUUCUAGAUUUGAGUAUAAUGAAGAUUGCUUCAAGUGUAGGUCUAAGGAGCAUUGGAAGUGGAAUUGUCUGAUAUGGAAGGAAAAGCGGAAUAAGAUGAAGGAUACCGAAGGUUGAGGUGCAGCAAACUUGUCAACUGGUGACAGCGAUGACGAACUUUUGAUGGUUACGGAUGAGGAGCAUAAUGUGGACGUCGUCACAAACUCUUCGAGGAAAAGGUCUACUUCAGUUUGAAUUUUAGAUUUCGAAAGCUCAUUUUCAUGUGUGUUCAAAUAAGAUGAAGUUUGACACAUAUGAGGAAAUGAAGGGUAGCAAGAUUUUGUUAGGAGGAAAAAUAAGUUGUGAUGUUUUGGGCAUGAGAACAAUGAAGAUCAAAAUGCACGAUAGUAUUGUUAGGAGCAUUAGUAAGGUAAGGCAUGUAUCAGCACUAAGAAAGAAUCUUAUUUCUCUUGGCGCUCUAGAUAGAGGAAGGUAUUCGUACAAGCCCAAAGAAGAGAAACUUUUAGUCACAUAAAGUUUGGUGAUGAUUAUAAGGGGGAAGAUUCAGCCUAAUAAUGUUUAUCAGCUUUUGGGGGUACAAUUAUAGGUGGAGGAGAGAAUUCUACCAAGGAAGACUACAAGAUGGAGUCGGGUGUGGUUUGUACCAAGGAAAAGCGGGCAAAGGAUCUCAUUAUCAAUAAGCCGGUGCAACGAAAUGAGGCUACAAGUUCGCUCAAGACAAGGGAUGUUAGUCAAGGUUGAUUUAUAAAUAAUUUAUCAUCAAGGGUGCUUGAUUUCAAAGAUGUUGAAAUGACGGAGUCGGAGGACAAGGUCCAUAAGAGGGAAGUCAAGACAAGUGAUGAUGGGAAAACAUUGUUGGGUUGAUGGCAAUAAAAAAGGCACUUCUUACCAAGGUGGUCAUGGAAGGAACUCCAAGAUGGGUGGAGCUUGACAUAAGGGUUGUAAAAGAUGGGCAUCAAUAACAAACUCACAAAGGGGUUCUACUUGAGGUAGAGCCUUCAUCACAAGCAAGGUCCGAGCUAAAAGAAUCCAUCAAACUGUCCCAAAGGUUUGGAUGGAAGGACAAUAUAGAUUCAACUACGUUUCAGAGUGCAUUUGGGAGCAUGAAGCGGAAGGUUGGAUGGGUGCUUUGAUGAAAAUGAAGGAAUUAGUUCAUAAGUCCAAGAGCAAAGUUAGUGAUUGUGUGGGGGUUGGCAUGCAGUUUGCGUAUCAAGGCAUGUCAAGAAUUCAAGAUUCUAAGAAGGCGAUGAGUAAGGAGUUCAGCAUGGGGGAUCUUUCUUCUACACAAGAGGUCCGGGUUGCCCAAGUUUAGCUUGGGUGGAGCACCUCCUCACCCAUCUAAGGUGCAUUGAGGUUUCUUGCCAUGGUAGAGCUCUUGGGAAUUACUAGAAUGAUUUCCAAGAGGUUCAAGAUGUUCUAGGGGUCAACAAUAGGACUUUUGGGGCUAGGUUAAACUAGCCGAGCUAAAGAGAGGUUGGGGAAUUUAGAAGAGAGAGAAACAAGGGAAUUGAAGAGGGAAUUCUAAGGUGUUUACAAGGGCAUUUGAAGGUUUGAGUGAGGGUGAGAGAAAAGAGAGCUAGAGUUCUUGUGAAAGCUAAGGGGGUUCAAGAUUGUAACCAAAGUUAUUCUUACACACUAGUGAAUUUCUCAGGUGGAUCACCAAGAUGACGUAGGCACGAGGCUGAACCUCUAUAAAUCUUUGUGUUCUUGUGUGUUUGCUUACUAUGUUCGUAGUGUGUAUGCUUUAUUCUUGAAGGGGUUAUGCGUGUGUCAUCGCAUAGUCCAUUAACGACAAGGUCUUGGAGUGCUUUCGUACAACAGUUUUGUCUUUUAUGUCAUUGGACUAGAUUCAGGGAAAUUAUGACUGUAGAAAGAGAUUAUAUAAAAUUAUUUUCGAGAGUGAUUCUCUCCAUAUCGUUUUAGCUUUUUGGCUGGCUCAAGUCAGUGGGUAAAUUUUUACACAUGUAUGUCAUAUUGCUAUUGGGAUGACUCCCUUUACUGUGUCCUUUAUACCUAGUUUAAAUAAAGGGGUGCCUAUGCACCUAGGUUCAAUUUACAUAGGAAACAAUCUUGAGACAAACCCAAUAUAAUACCCCCCUUAGCGAAUGACAAGAAUAAAAAUAAAGAGGCACCCAUGCUCUCUCUACACAGAGAUAGGGGAUGACUAAGGGGAGAGACGAUUGGUGGGUUUGGGGAGAUUUUAUUAUUAUUUUUGUUUUAAAAUUAUAAUUUUUAUCUUGCUAAAUGAAUUACAUGUUAUAAACAGGUCUUUAGUAUUACUAAAUGAAGUACAUGUUAUAACACAAGAUACUAAAAUAAUACAUGUUAUAGUAUAGAUGGAAUGAUAAAUCUGCCACACCGAAAAAUUCUAAUUUUCUUCUAAGAGAAUUUAUAAAGAGAAAAGUGUUUGAUGAAAUACAACAGACCUAAAAGAAAAGGCUAGGCAACAAUAGUGAAGAGGAUUUCAUUUGUAAGGGGGUCUCUCACAAUAUAUAUAUAUAUAUGUAUAAAUUUGAACUCACAACAUGACUAAGUGGACAAAAACAUCAUGCGUAAGUCAAAAUAUUUACAACUUUUUUCCUUUGCUAAUUUACACAUAAAUUUUUUUGAAGACCCAUUAAACUCAAUAGAAGAAACCAAAAUCUCACAAACCCAAACUAACCAUAUGUUGAGAAACACAAUACAAAGUUUCACAAACCCAAAAAACAAUAUAAAAAAGUAGAGAAAGUUUAACGAACCUUAAUUAAGUGAGUUAAUUAUAUUGAAAAAACUUGAUAACAUAUAAUAUGAAGAAUAAGAAAAUAAACAAAAGUCACGAACAUAGUUGUAAGAGAAAGGAGGAGGAAAGAGUUUUAGAUUUUAAGGAUUUGUGUUACAAAAAUUAUUAUAAUAUAAUAAUUAUAGAUUAAAAAAGAGGUAAACAUGAAAAUGAAAUUGUUAAAGGUGUUGUAAAAUAUAUUAAUAUAUUAAUAUAUAUAUAUGUAUUAUCUAUCUAUAUAUAUAAAGCAAAAGGCAGAGAAUGGUGAAACAUUCAAAAUACCAGAAAAUGCCCUUUGUUAAUUCAAACAUUAAGAAUUGAAAUUAUUAAUUAAAUGAGGAUAAUAUAGUAAAUUUAUAUUUUUUAAUAUUAAAAAAAUUAAAAUUAAAAACAAAAUAAGAUAAUAGGUCCUACUUUGAUGGAACAUAACUACCAUGUUAUCUUUUAUUAAUUCUAAAAAUAAAAUAAAAAAGAAAAAGAAAACCAAUUGGCACAUGCGUGAGCAUGUGUCAAGAGGCUAGUAUAUUAUUAUUAAAAAAAAAGUGUUGGGGGGUCUGGGACCUUACUGGUCCCUUAGUGGCCAUUUGAUUAAAUUUGCGCAAGUACAAUAAGAGCUAGAAUUUCUCUUAUCUUUAUUGAGACUUUUGUUGAUGUUGAUCAGUGGUUAUCUACAAUAACUAAUAAUUAUAGUGGAGAGGACAUUGUGGUUGUGGGCAAUGGAUGGGGUCCGAAAUUAUAAAUGCACUAUAAAGUUUCCAACACAAAAAACCAACACCAUUGGCCUUUUCCCUUUCUCCAACGGCAUUACUAAACUUGGUUAUAGACCUAUAGCAAACUAAUGAUGAUGGAGUAGAAUUGUAUGGAAUAUCCUCCUUCAAAAAUAUAGAAAAGUUUUAUCUCUUUGAGAUGCCGUAUAUGGACUGGUGCAAGGCUAAUGGUGAGAAGUUUCUUGGCUCUUUAUUGAGACUUGCUAUUGCUAGUUGGAUAAUUCCCAUCGAUACUGCCUGCUUAGUGCUCCUUAAUUUAGUCAGGUCAAUUAAUUAACAACUGGCCUAACCCUUAAUUAUGUGGUGGAAAGAGUAGGUAGAUAGAGCUGUACGUUCAUAGCCAGCCCAACCCAAGUAUACUCCAACUCUAAAACUAAGCUCACCAAACUAAUUAAGGGAGCGAGUGGAUCCUAAAGCUGGCUGACUAACUUCAUCAACUUGUACAAGUCGAAGUAAACCACACCAUGUCGAAACUUGGUCAAUUUUCACCUUUUUUCUUUUUCUAAAUCAAUUGUGACAUUUAAAGAAGAUUUAAACUCAGAAAAUCUAACUUGUCUUUGGUUGGGGUUUUUUUUUUUUUUUUUUGAGACAUGCGAUAUUCAAGGAGAUGAAAUCAAACCUAAGAUCUCGAUGCAAGGGUAAUACAUUUAACUACUUAAGCUACAAACCCUUUGCACCUCUUCUUUGGUAGUUGAUGAAUAGCUAUGUAUAUUUUCCGUUUAUUAAUAAAGAGAAAUUCAAAUUAAGAAUAUGUUAUAAUAUUGUAUUUAAUGGUGUUUUUCGUUACACAAUUUUUGCUUAAUCACAUUUUGUCUCAUAACUGACUUAAUUUGUAAAAUAAAAUUACAUGUGAGACAUUACCUACUCCCCGUGGACAAAGUCUCUCAUCACUUUUUCUGAUCUCGUGAUAAAACGAAGAAGAAGAAAUAUUGGUCCUAUUUCCAUGCGUGGAACAAUGAGCUAAGAAAGUGACGUCCUUUUCAUAUUUAUAAUAUGUCAUAUAUGUCGCCAUGCCCUGCUCUAUAUAAGCUUAAGAGACCUUAACAACAAAUGCAUAAAAAAAACAAAUUGCAUUAUGAGAAUCCUCAAGAACCUCCCAGCCUUCUGCAUCCUAUGUGCCACUCUCUUCUUUGCAUCAACCAAUGCAGCUAGAUUCGAUAUCCGAAACAACUGCCCCUUCACAGUCUGGGCAGCAGCCGUGCCAGGCGGUGGACGCCAACUUAAUAGAGGCCAAAGUUGGGCCCUAGAUGUGCGUGCCGGAACCCAAGGGGCUCGCAUUUGGGCCCGAACUGGAUGCAGCUUUGAUGGAGCCGGACGUGGGAGAUGUCAAACAGGUGAUUGUGGGGGUGUCCUCCAAUGCCAAGCCUAUGGCCAACCCCCAAACACCCUAGCUGAGUAUGCCCUUAACCAGUACAACAACUUGGAUUUCUUUGACAUUUCCCUUGUUGAUGGCUUCAACGUCCCUAUGGACUUUAGCCCCACGUCUAAUGGGUGCACCAAGGGCAUCAGAUGUACCGCUGAUAUUAAUGGGCAGUGUCCUAACCAACUGAGGGCUCAAGGAGGCUGCAACAACCCUUGCACUGUGUUCAGGACUGAUAAAUAUUGCUGCAAUUCUGGGAGCUGUGGCCCAACAGACUUGUCUAGGUUUUUUAAGGAUCGGUGCCCGAGUGCUUAUAGCUACCCGAAGGAUGAUCCAACGAGCACAUUUACAUGCCCUGGCGGGACCAACUAUAGGGUUGUGUUCUGCCCAUGAAGCAGAUACAUCUUCUAGGUUUAUAAUAUCUAUGAAUAAGUCUGUGAUCAAAUAAAAUUAUGGUCUGAGCUGAGGGCUUGUACUCUCACACUUGAGUACAGUCAUAUCAUAAUUAACAUCAAAGAUGAAUGUAUCCUGCUUUGGAUUCAGAAUAUUUUUCUUAAUACUUGUCGAUUUUGCUUCAUUGGUUAUUGCUUUUUCUAUCACCGAAAGGUAUAUCUUCAGUGGCCAUUCCUGGAAAAUGGAUUCAUGGUCUCUCUAGGGAAGCUUCUCUUAUUUUCUUUAGUUUAUUUUUCAGAUUGUUUUUAGAGUGUCUGGUUCUAUCUAUUUUGGAACCCAAAUUGUCCCUUUAACUGUUUGGGCAGCAAAGUUUUGCAAACCUUCGAGUAUAAUAUUCCACUAAUUGUAGUAUUUAUUUUUACUUUGAUUGAAGGCGAAUGCCUGAUUUUGAGAAUUUCUUUUAUGCUCUUUGAGACUUGUAUAGCUAACCUCGUCACUGCUGGCUCCGCUCGGUGCUCUCUUAGUCAAGUCAAUACGUUACAAAGUUGUAUUUUUUACUUUGGCGCAUUAACCCAAAAGGAAAUCUAAACACAAACAUGUAUACGACUCUUAGGAAUAUUAGGAAAGGGGUAAUCAAGCACUUGACUUAGGAUAUAUGCAUAACUGCGCUUAACCAUUUGAGCUACAAACUCUUAUUAACGAUUAUCUAAGACUACUAAUAACAAUAUUCUCUUUCAUAUUAGGAAAAUGAUGAUUUUGGUCUCUCUACUUUGAAUGUGAUUUUCUACUGAGUCUCAUAAUUAAUUAUAAAAAAAAUUCAACAAUGGAACUCUAUUGAAUAAUGUUUCCUCGUUUAUAUCAUUUAUUUUAUUGUGUAUUUUUUAUGCAUCACGUGACAUAAUAUCGUGUAGCAAAUACAUCAAAAUUAUACAGCAUGUGCUAUUAUCAACAUCUAAACCCUAAACAUUUUGAGUAGUACAUGUAUUAGAUACACCAUAUAAGCAUGUCCCAUGUAUAAAGAAUACACUAUAUUUCCUUUUUCAUUUUUGUCAUUCCAAUUAAAAUCUAUAUAGAUUAAAUUUAUGGGACACCAUCAACAGGUUUGCCUACAGAGGGUUCUUCCGGCUACAUGUAUAUGGCCUUGCUCUUAAUCCUGCCACGAUUGAACUCCUUUUUAUGUAACUUGAUUGCAUGCCAUUUGUCAGAUUCGAAAGCACAUUUUAGAAAAUUUGUAUACUGAAUUCUGCAACAAAGUAUUGUUUCUUAGUGUCAUCACAUGUUUUCCGUGAGAAACCUAAUAAUGAUAACAUAUAAGGCCUGAAACAUAACGUGAAGGAUGAUUUUGUUGCCAAAUUCAGGUGGCUUUGUUUGCUGUGAUCAUCGAGGACGUGGCUUCAUCGAUCAUGUCAAGCCAAACUAAUCUUAUAAACGUGUAAAUGUUUGUGCUCAUAUGAACAUCAUCUCUGUAAUAUUUUGUACCAAUGUCAACCACGUCAUCACACCUCCCCGAGAAACCACCCCAACCCAAAACGGCAAACCUCUUUAUAUAAAACCCUACACAAGCUCAAACACUACAUAACCCAAUCACCAAAAUGAGUCUUUUCAUCAAACACUACUUACCCAUCACUUUCUUCCUCGCCAUCCCUCUCUACUCCAUCUUGUCCCAUGCAGCCAGUUUCAACAUCCGAAACAACUGCCCCUACACUGUCUGGGCAGCAGCUGUGCCAGGCGGUGGCAGACAGCUCAACCGAGGCCAAACAUGGACGCUAAAUGUGAAGCCUGGAACUAAAAUGGCUCGAAUUUGGGCCCGAACCAAUUGUGCCUUCGACAACUCAGGUCGUGGCCGGUGCCAAACCGGCGACUGCGGAGGAUUCCUCCAAUGCCAAGCCUAUGGUUCACCCCCAAACACCCUAGCCGAGUAUGCCCUAAACCAAUUUGGAAACAAGGACUUUUUCGACAUUUCACUUGUAGACGGGUUCAAUGUUCCAAUGGAAUUUAGUCCCACGUCUAAUGGGUGCACCAGGGGGAUCAAAUGUGCUCAAGAUAUCAAAACGCAGUGCCCUAAUGAGUUGAAGGCCCCAGGUGGCUGCCACAACCCUUGCACUGUGUACAAAACUGACAAGUAUUGUUGCAAUUCGGGGAGAUGUGGGUCUACAAAUUUAUCCAAGUUUUUUAAGGAUCGGUGUAGGGAUGCUUAUAGUUACCCUAAAGAUGAUCUAACUAGCACUUUUACUUGUCCUGGUGGGACUAAUUACAAGGUUGUGUUCUGUCCUUGAAUCACGUUGUUUCUCCAAGUUAUGUUGUGUGGCGUUUGUAAGAUGUGUACUAAUAUGAAUCCUUAAUAAAUUGUGGCCACGACAAGAGUUUGAUUUUCAUAUCUCCUGUCUUCAAAUUUACAGAUUUAAUUGCGUGGUUGGAACAUUAAUUUUUUUUUUUUUUUGAAUUAUACAUAUGCAACACACUAAAAUGAGUAUAAAAAACUGUUAAUCAAUAUAUGCUGUCAGAAAAUAAUUCAGUUCUGGUGGUACCUUUUUAUUUUAUCUCUUUCAAUCUCAUCAAAGCUUAUGUUGAAUUCAUCAUCAGCCGUUGCAUGAUCCUUCAAAAUUUCACAUUAGAGAAAAGAGAGCAAACGAGAAUCGAGGACAACCUCCCAGAAAAAGGACAUACACCUUGAAAUUCUGGCAAGUCAUCGUCGGCUCAUUUCUACUCUCCACCUCUUCAUGCAAGACUCUUAGACAAAUGGAAUUAUUAAUGAUCUACCACUCCAUUUUAGGUUCUUUCACUAUUAUUCCAUUCAAACGUGUGACAUAAUUAGUAUAUUAUGGACCCAAGAAGAAUUAAGCAAAUGGGAUGCAUGGAUAAAAUCUUCACGACAUUUUGGGGUUGGUCUGGGGUUCAAAUCGAUCUCUAUCUUUUCUAGUUUAAUUCCGUCUUGUAGCUUUUUCGAGAAGCAAUCAUUUCGACCAUAUCCUUUUGGUCCAUCAACCAUAUAUAUAUGUUCAUUGGAUCCAACUUUGACAUUCAAUUUGCGCUUUAUUCUGUGCAAUCUUAUCAUUUUAUAUGCUCAAAACAUGCGUCGCAACAAUUUCUAUUUUUUAUAUUUUAUAAAAGCAACUUUUUUCCCGGUCUAGUUAAUAAUGCAAUAUUCUUGGUCCCUCUCCACAUGCAUUCGUUUGUGAAUCUAGUUUUUAUUUCCUUUAUAGUAAAAGUUCAUCUUCGUUUUUUACCCCUCAUUUUUCCUUUUAGAGAAUCAUAUAGGUUUCAUUUUCAGUCUCGACCAAAUGGGUAGACGUAGACUGCUACACUAAAAAAAGGAGAAAAUACAAAAACAUAAAAGAAAAUUGAAUCCAACUGAUUACUGAAAAGUUAAUACUUUUAAAGUUCUUUUUUUAAAAGUUACGGUCAAUGAUCGCUGUUUUUUCAAAGCAAGGAUAACCCAGCUUUUAAAAGCUGUUUUAAAAAAAUUGGUUUUAUUUAUUUAUUUAUAAUCACAAAUGAUAUACCUAUAUUUUAUUUAAAUAAAUAUUUAAAUUUAUAUUUUUCAUAAGUACAUUAUUGGAUAUGUAAUUUACACACACACAUAUAUAUAUAUAUAUUUUUCUGGUUUCCAAUUUGAGGGGCGAUAUGUUAGAGGGAAUGGCAACCUAAAGAAAUAGGGUGAUUGAUAUGCUACUAAUAGGGAGUAUUAAUUACAAUUAUGACAGUUAAUGAAAUGUUUGAAAUAAAUUAUAAAUAAAAUAUGAAGUCUUGUGGCAACGAUGUAAAAACACAGGAAUACUAUGACCUCUUAUAUCCUACUGGUCAUUUAAAUUUAAAAUUGAGUUUUACACAUAAAUUUAUAGAGUAAUGGAUAUAUGUUUAGAAAAUAAAAAAUGUAAGGACUUAUAUUGGACAAGCCCUGAAAUAUAUUAAUACUUACUAAUAUGUUAGUUUAAAAUAACUUUUAAUGGUUGUUGUCUUUCGUACAAAUAAUGCUCAGCAUCAACACAAAUAUUUCUCGAUUUAUAUAAGAUAUUGGAGUGAACUAAAUAUGGUUGGCAACUGAGAGAAUGCCAACCUAUCAAGCUUUUUGAUAAUCCACAGUUGAUAAUUGUUGGUAUCUCUCAAAUAGGGAAGACAAACGAUAAUUUACUAGAGCUUGCCAUGGCACUUUUCCUGUGAAGGUAAUUCAAAAGUUUUUGCUUCAUAGAAUAUUGAUUCAAUCUAUUUUCCACUGUUUGUGAUAAGGAACACAAGUCUCCUCGACAAAAUAUAGCCCACAAAAAUGAAGUUUGCUUUUUCUGAGAAAAUCCAAUUAGAGAUUGUGGUAUGCCAAGCAUCUUGCGCAUUUCAACAUUAUCAUACACUCGUUGACUGAUUCAACUAGUUAUCUGGAAAUUUAUUUGUAGUUAGAAUUCGAUCCAUGAGGAGCCUAUGAAAUUUUAACAUCUGUUUGGAAAUUUGUCUUUCUAAAGUCAUGAUGAGCAUAUUAUAUUUUAAGAUCUGGAAUAUGCCAACAUUGACUGGCACAUAGUGAGGAUCUAGAAAGGUCUAAAAUAUUGAUGAUAUCGGAAAUAUCGGUAGUUCAAAAAUAUGGAAAUUUCGAUGGAAAUAUCGGGAUAUUAUCGAUAUUGAUAAAAAUUGAAUAAAAACCAUGGAAAUUGUAAGAAAAACUUGGAAAUUUUUAUUAAAACUUUGGAGAAUGUCUAUUUAGUCAAUUAUCUAUGAGUUUAUCACAAAAAAUUAGAAGGAAAUGCAUUGCAUGAUGGAUUGAACUAAUAUAAGUUGAUUAUACAGCAAGCGGGCAAACACUAUGAGUGUAAAAAAUAUGUAAUAAUUAAUAAAAAAAGAUUCAAUACACCGUAAUCAUUCAUAUAUAAUGAUUUACUAUAAUAUUUUACACUUUAUACAUUGCAUGGUAAGAUACAUAAAUGACUUAGUACCACAUAGAGUUCCUACGAGGUUCAAAUUUUUCACUAUCUUCAUCAUCUCUAUGUGUAGAGUAAGUGUAUUGUGAAGAGUAGUCAUCAAAUGAUAAAUCCCCAAAAUAGUUUUGCAUGUAAUUGUUAACAUACCACCCAUAUAAAUAUAAAUAUUUUAGCAUAUUAUCACAAAAACAUAAGUGAUAUGGUGUUUAAGGUGUUGGAGGAGUAAAAUGGGAGGGGUUCAUAUCCCUUUUGUGCUUUUUUCUCCCCUUUUUCCCUUUUUUUUAAUUUUUUUAUUUUUAUUAAAACUUUUUUUUUCCUUCACAUCGAUAUUUUCGAUAUUUUAGCGAUAUUACACCGAUAUUUUGACAAAAUAUUGCUGAAAUGUGAGCGAAAUUAUUGACAUCGAUAUUUUCCGAUAUUAUCGUCGAUAUUGUCGAUAUUUAUACGAUAUGUACAUGGAUAUGUUCCGAAAUAUCCGUGAUUCAAAAAAAUCGAAAUAUCCUCAAUAUUUCUUCGAUAUUAUCGAUAUUUCAGACUAUGUCUGGAACGAACAACCACUCAAAAUUAAAAUGCUAAUUAGAUUUUUAUUUAUUGUUAUUACUAGAAAACUGACGUGUAGGGAAAUUAUUGUAAAAAGAAAACAAAAAUGUGAAGAUAAGGGUAAGCACGUGUUCCCAUUUGGGUUGCGAAACUUCCACACAAAAAACCAAUACCAUUUGGGACUCUUUGGGAUCUUUUUCCAAUGGCAUUAAUUAUAUAUAUAAUACACACACUUUGGGUCCUUUUCAACUAAACUAUAUCCGAUUGACAUAAUAUUGGCCCUAUUUCCAUGUGUGCAUGGAAGAAUGAGCUAAGAAACGGACGUCAUUUUUCAAAAUUAUGUACGUCAUACACUGCCCCUUGCCCAUUACCCCGCUCUAUAUAACCUUAAGACACCUUCUCACAGUUAUUAAAAAAAAACACCACCUCCAAAAUGAGUAUCCUCAGAAACCUCCUAGUCUUCUGCAUCCUAUGUGCCACUCUCUUCUUUGCAUCAACCAAUGCAGCUCAUUUCGAUAUCCGAAACAACUGCCCCUUCACCGUCUGGGCAGCCGCCACGCCAGGCGGCGGACGCCAACUUAAUAGAGGCGAAAAUUGGGGCAUAGACGUGGCUGCCGGAACCAAAGGGGGUCGCAUUUGGGCCCGGACCGGAUGUACCUUUGAUGGAGCUGGACGUGGGAGAUGCCAAACAGGUGAUUGUGGGGGUAUCCUUCAAUGCCAAGCCUAUGGCCAACCCCCAAACACCCUAGCUGAAUAUGCCCUUAACCAAUUUAGCAACUUGGAUUUCAUUGACAUUUCCCUUGUUGAUGGCUUUAAUGUUCCCAUGGAAUUUGGUUCCACGUCUAGUGGGUGCACUAGGGAUAUCAGAUGUACGGCUGAUAUUAAUGGGCAGUGUCCUGGCCAACUGAGGGCUCCAGGAGGCUGCAACAACCCUUGCACUGUGUUCAAGACUAAUCAAUAUUGCUGCAAUUCUGGGAGGUGUGAACCUACAGAUUUAUCUAGGUUUUUCAAGAUGCGGUGCCCGGAUGCUUAUACACUACUACAAAAAAGCAAAAAGACGACGGUAAAUCACCGUCGUGUAUUUGGUUUUUCAAUGGUCGUGGAAUCCACCGUCAUCUUUUCCCUCAUAAACCACGACGCUAAAUAACCGUCGUUGUUAAACAAUACAACGUCAUCAAAAAAUACAAAACGACGUCUUUGUACUGCAAAAGAUCUAAAAAAAGCAAUCGAUGAUGAUAAUAGACGACCAAUUCUCUAAAAAGACCGUCGUUAAAAAGGGAAAAUAUGACACAUAUUAAGAGAACAAGGCCGCAAGAUAGACAUACAACGACGACAAUAAAAAUACGCCGACGUUAAAUAUAAUUUUCACGACAAUAAAAAAUAUGACGUCUUUAAAUACAUUAGAAGACGACGUUAUUGAUACCUACUACGUCGCACAUAUAAACACAACCGUCGUACAAUUAAUUUUCCACUUCGAUUUUUUGAUAAAAGAUGACGUGGAAAUAGUUGUCAGUGUCAUUAUUUACGACGUAUGUGUUUCUAUAGUAGACGUUGAAAAACUAAACAACGUCAGUUACAAAUAUAUGAGAGUCGUAUUAAAAAAUUUAUACGUCCUAUUUUCAGAAACAAACAACGACCAUAAAUAUUAGACGUUGUUAAAUACAACAACGUCGGAAAACAAUAAAAACAGACGUGUUUAGUCUGCUAAAGUUCUACAACGUCUCUUAUUUACAAAAAACCGUCGUGAAAUAAAUUUUCCACUUCGAUUUUAUCUAAAAAAGAUGACGUGGAAAUAGUUGUCAGUGUCAUUAUUUACGACGUAUACAUUUAUAUAGUCGACGUUGUAUUUAUAUGUAUUCAUUACUCACGACGCACUUAAUAAUAUAGACGACGUUGAACGUCUAAACAACGUCGGUUCCAAAUAAAUGAGAGCCGUAUUACAGAACAUAUAGACGGCGUAGAUUAUGAUGGGAGCCGUAUUACAAAUAACGUCGUUUAAUUGUUAUUAGACGGCGGUUAUAAUGAAUUUCCGUCGGAAUUAAUUUCGUUCCUCUUCGUUUAUAAAAGAACUUGCGACGUGGAAAAUGUAUGAUGACGUCGUAUUUUUUAACGUUCAGAUUACAUAUCUCGUUUUUUAGACGUCGGUAUUAUGGGAUUGGAGUCGUGUUAUUUUGAAUUACAUGGCGGUUCUUUAUCCUUCACCGACGUGAUAUCCUGAAUAAUUGCUUCACAAUAGCGUCGUGGUUCUUCAUUGUUACGUUGCUUUAAGACGUCGGUAAAUAUGCUGAAUAACUGAUUCACAAUAACGUCGUGUUUUAUUUGAACGUAGAAAGUGAAGAAAUCACAUUACAAUAUAUUACAAAAUUAAUGUCAUACACUGCCAAUUACAUAAGCAUCAUUCAAUCCAUAUAUCUUCACACCCAUCUCGAAUAUUUUGACCGCCUAACUCACCUACCAGUUCAUCAAAUGUGUCAACAUUUGGCAUCCCUCUAGUAAAUGGCUCACACUCAAUUAUCACAUCACCUAAUACUUCAUCACCAAUAACAUCAUUAUAUUCUCUACUAGGCAUUGAUAACACUACCGACCAACCACGAUGCAUCGGGUCGUCAACAAAAAAUAUUUGUUUGACUUGAGAAGCCAAAACAAAUUGGUCAUUCCUAUGUCCAAUUUUACUCAAAUCUACAAGGGUAAAUCCAAGUUCGUCGACUACAAGACCAGAACUAUCUAUCCAAUCACACCUAAAGACUGGGAUUGUAAACUUUUGGUAGUCAAGGUCCCAAAUUUCUUGAAUGACACCAUAGAAACCCAUAUUUGAGAGAAUUGGGUUUUUAUCCUUGGCACUAGCAACUUGCAUGGUAUGUGCAAGUAAAUAAACUCCACUAUUUUGAGUUGUCCGCACAUCAUCUUGUGCCUUGAUAUUGAAUUUAAUACCUUUAAUAAGAUAGCUCCUAUAUAAUGGCACUGACAUGUUUGGACCAGCUGCUAGCCACCUUAAAUUUUCUGAUACGCCAUGAUUGUCUUCCUCAACUUCACUUUGAACCUGCAAAUUAAUCAUAUCUUAAUUCAUCCUAACAUAUAAAUAAGAAGAAAAUUAAAAGAGAAAUACGUUAUUCAACAACAUAUACCUUGAAGCGUAGCCAUUGAAUGAAAGUGCUAUUGUGCUUAUCCUGCAGCCACUUUGUUCUCUUUCUAAAUUUUGGAUAAGCAGUCUUGAUGUGGAUCAUAUGUUGCCUACAUGACACGAAAAAUUCAAGCAUUACGGUCCCAAAUAUAUAAGAUAAACAUAAGAAAUAAUUUUAAAUGGAAACUUAAAGAAUAAAACUCAUACGUACUCGAUAUAACUUCACUAAUGCCGAUAACUUCGUGUACUUUCUACAACCAGGGUACACUGGUUGAUCUCCAUCCCCAAUCACAUUGGCAAACUCAUACGGAUCCGAACCAAAAUCACCAAAAUCAUUAUCAUCCAUAUCAAUUUCUUCAGACACAAAACUGUACCUACUAUGGCCAUCAUCUUCUUCAACAUUUCUGCUAGCAUUAGUAGUUGCUUCCCAAGGUUCUCCGUGAAAUGUCCAAUUCUUAUAGCUUUGGUCAAUUCCAUUAAAGUAUAAGUGAUCCCUUAUAAUUCCAACCCCAAACAACUUCAAAUUAACACAUUUAACACAUGGACAACGGAUAUGUGUUGUAGUUAGAAGAUUUUCUACAGCAAAGUUCAAAAAUGCUUCCACCCCAAACUCAUAUGCCUUCGAUCUUCUAUCCGAGUGCAUCCAUGACUUAUCCAUCUCCGACACUAUAACCUAUUAUCUAUAAUAAAGUGAAAAUACAGGCAAUGACCAUCACUAUAGCAGAUUAUACAAUGAUCUAAUCGCAAGUAAUAAACAACAGAGACGACGGGUUUUAAUCAAAAACAGACGUAUUUGGCAUAUAUAGACGACGGAUUUUCAACAGACGUCGUCUAUUAUACGUAAUACAAACGACGGUUUAUGAAAAAACCGUCGUGUAUAAGUAAUACAACGACGGUAGUUUAAAAACACCGUCGUGUAAUCGUCGUCGUACGCCUUAAAAUUCGUCGUGUCUCAGUUUAUUUUCAAGAACACAAAACCCAUUAAGAACACAACAUAUAUAUGAAACCAAGCAAGAAACCAACANNNNNNNNNNNNNNNNNNNNNNNNNNNNNNNNNNNNNNNNNNNNNNNNNNNNNNNNNNNNNNNNNNNNNNNNNNNNNNNNNNNNNNNNNNNNNNNNNNNNNNNNNNNNNNNNNNNNNNNNNNNNNNNNNNNNNNNNNNNNNNNNNNNNNNNNNNNNNNNNNNNNNNNNNNNNNNNNNNNNNNNNNNNNNNNNNNNNNNNNNNNNNNNNNNNNNNNNNNNNNNNNNNNNNNNNNNNNNNNNNNNNNNNNNNNNNNNNNNNNNNNNNNNNNNNNNNNNNNNNNNNNNNNNNNNNNNNNNNNNNNNNNNNNNNNNNNNNNNNNNNNNNNNNNNNNNNNNNNNNNNNNNNNNNNNNNNNNNNNNNNNNNNNNNNNNNNNNNNNNNNNNNNNNNNNNNNNNNNNNNNNNNNNNNNNNNNNNNNNNNNNNNNNNNNNNNNNNNNNNNNNNNNNNNNNNNNNNNNNNNNNNNNNNNNNNNNNNNNNNNNNNNNNNNNNNNNNNNNNNNNNNNNNNNNNNNNNNNNNNNNNNNNNNNNNNNNNNNNNNNNNNNNNNNNNNNNNNNNNNNNNNNNNNNNNNNNNNNNNNNNNNNNNNNNNNNNNNNNNNNNNNNNNNNNNNNNNNNNNNNNNNNNNNNNNNNNNNNNNNNNNNNNNNNNNNNNNNNNNNNNNNNNNNNNNNNNNNNNNNNNNNNNNNNNNNNNNNNNNNNNNNNNNNNNNNNNNNNNNNNNNNNNNNNNNNNNNNNNNNNNNNNNNNNNNNNNNNNNNNNNNNNNNNNNNNNNNNNNNNNNNNNNNNNNNNNNNNNNNNNNNNNNNNNNNNNNNNNNNNNNNNNNNNNNNNNNNNNNNNNNNNNNNNNNNNNNNNNNNNNNNNNNNNNNNNNNNNNNNNNNNNNNNNNNNNNNNNNNNNNNNNNNNNNNNNNNNNNNNNNNNNNNNNNNNNNNNNNNNNNNNNNNNNNNNNNNNNNNNNNNNNNNNNNNNNNNNNNNNNNNNNNNNNNNNNNNNNNNNNNNNNNNNNNNNNNNNNNNNNNNNNNNNNNNNNNNNNNNNNNNNNNNNNNNNNNNNNNNNNNNNNNNNNNNNNNNNNNNNNNNNNNNNNNNNNNNNNNNNNNNNNNNNNNNNNNNNNNNNNNNNNNNNNNNNNNNNNNNNNNNNNNNNNNNNNNNNNNNNNNNNNNNNNNNNNNNNNNNNNNNNNNNNNNNNNNNNNNNNNNNNNNNNNNNNNNNNNNNNNNNNNNNNNNNNNNNNNNNNNNNNNNNNNNNNNNNNNNNNNNNNNNNNNNNNNNNNNNNNNNNNNNNNNNNNNNNNNNNNNNNNNNNNNNNNNNNNNNNNNNNNNNNNNNNNNNNNNNNNNNNNNNNNNNNNNNNNNNNNNNNAAGUGAUUUUAUGACUCAUCAAAACAAUUUGUUUGGAUGGUCAUUUUAAAUUUUGUAUUCAAAAUGAAUUUUCAAGGUUUAUGUGGAAGAAAAUAUAUCAAUGACUUCAUAGGAGUUGACUUUUCAAUUUUCUGAUUUAUUUUAAAUUUAUUUUGAAUAUUUUGAUAUAAAAAUAAUAAAAUAUUCUUACCACAACAACAAACCACGUCGGUGUUAAUAAAUUGUAGACGUUGUAAAUUGUAAUAGACUACUAAGUCGUUAAAAUGACGUCGUUAAAAUGAGAAACCAUGGCGGCUAUUUAACUAUACGACGUAAAAUAUAUAUAUCAACGACUUAACCGCUGUCGUUACAUAAACGUCGUCGAUGAUACCCUGAACCCUUAAGAAAUUGAAGAUGUUGUAAACCAUAAACGACUCAAUUGUUCAAAGAACGUCGUCUAACUAUAUUUUUACGUCGUAAUUGUUUAAAACACGAAACAACAAAAUACGACGGUUUGUGACUUUAUUAGGUCGUUGGAAAAGUAUUACACGUCGGUUAAGCAAUUUGUAUGUUUGUUUUUUUUUUAAUUUAAGAAAACCUCAACAAAUUUUUACAUUACAUAUUAUAGAGAAAAUUUGUACAUUAUACAUAAAUAUCAAGUGUUCAAUAAUUGCCCUGUUUAAUAAUUUGGAAAACAAACUCUGCCCAUUCAUUCCGGACUUCAUCAAUGGCUUCUUGGGGGUAUGAAGCUUCCUGGUUUCCCUUGGCAUACUGCAUAAACAAUGACUAUUAGGGUUUAUAAAUAAAAAGAAAUUCAAUCACAGACGACGAUAUUUUUCAUAACCGACGUAGUAUAUCCAUUCAACGACGUUAAUUUUACAUGACCGUCGUUGAUAAUACAAAAAACGACGUGAAAUGUAUGAAGGUAAUUUCUUCUUACCUUAUUCUCAAACCCCAAGGAAGGAUCCAUGAUGAUGUCCCUCAUGAAGCGCAUCACAUAAUACCCGCAUUCGACAUUGCUGGGUUGCUUUGGUGUGCCUGAGAGAGUUUUCCAAAUUACAUUUUUACGUCCUGCUCGGCCUAUGUGGGUAUUAUAUAUUUUUAAAGCACUGUUCACGAUGUUUUUCGCCUCUUCGUCGACCACACGAUGACCUGGCAGAGGAUCCAGAAAAUAGACGGUCUCCUUCUUUGCUCUUACAAUCAGCAGGAUCCAAUGACGGCUGCACAAAAUUAAUAUAAAAACGACGGUUAUUUACAAAAACGACGUAUUAUAGUAUUUCACACGACGAAAUAAAGUAGAUAACGACGACAUUAUAUAUUUAUCACGACGACAAAUAAAUACCGACGUGGUUAGUAGUUUCAAACGACUAAAUAAAAUAAAACACCGACGUGGUUAGUUUAUAAGCUGUCAUUUAUUGAAAAUCAUAAAAACAAAAUCCUAAGGAGACUAACCCUGGAUUGUAAGGCAUCAUGAAAAGCUGUUCACCGUCUGUCUUCUGAAGUCGAGCUGCUACCAGUCGUGAUCUUUCAGUUAUUGUGCCAGAGUUGGCACUAACUGUAGCAGGGUCAAUAAAGCCAACCAUGCUGCACAUAUUGGCUUGUUUCAAAACAUCGUGUAAGUACCUAAAUACAUAAAAUAAUAUAAACAAGUCAGCACAAACAAACACGACGGUUAUGUAUAAAAAAACGACGUAUUAUAAUAUUUCACACGACGUACUGAAAUAGAUGAGGACGUUAUAAUAUAUUUAUCACGACGGUAGUUAGUUAAGACGACGUGGUUAGUUAGUUAAGACGACGCAAUAUAUAAACCAACGAGGUAUUAUUUUAGAAGUACAAACCUCAUAUAUACAGCCAAUACAGUAGCUCCAAUUUCUUCCAUGCCUGCAAAUUGUGUAAUAUCUUCAGGCAGGAGGAAGGUAUCGCGCUCACCACCAAACACCUCCUUAUCAAUUGUAAAUUGGAGUGUCUUAUCCUCAGGCAGGAGUGUCGUUUCCACAAAACGACAAAGGGUUUUUAAAGAAGAUGGCGCCUCCAUAUUUGAAUAAGCACCAACUUCAAUAACCUGUUUAAAGAAAUAAAAAAAAUGACGUGGUAAUUCAAUAAAGACGACGGUUUAAGUAAUAAAACGUCGUCUUAAAAGUAUUUAAACGACGGUGAAAAAACUGUCGUGGUAAUUCAAUAAAGACGACGGUUUUAUGAAUAAAGCGUCGUCUGAAACCAUUUAAACGACGGUGCAAAAACCGUCGUUUAAAUAUUUUAUUACGUCUUAAAAAAAUUCCGCCGUCUAAGUUUUAAACAAACGACGGAUUAAAUAAAAAUAUCGACGUCUGAAAUUUUGAAAAACAAAUAAAAAAGGCAAAGUUAUGUGAACAUACCUUGUCGUCAUGCUUUUCUUCAUCUUCUUUCUCCUUUUCUUCUUCCUUCUCUUCAUCUCUUUUUUCUUCUUCCUUCUCUUCAUCUGGCUGAUGUUUCCCCAUUUUGGCAGUAUCAUCCUCCAAAUGUAGGGAUCUCACAUAACCUCCAGAGCAGCUAGCUUUGUCAGACAUUGGAUUUUUGGGGCUUUGGCUAAUUCUUGGUUUAAGCAUGCUUGGAUCAAAAUUGGGAAUUAAUUGGGAAAGCUGACUCAGGAAAUGCUCCCUCUCAGCCUCUACCAAUUGUUUUGUCCUAGCCUCCAUCCUUAAGGCCUCUUCCCUUGCCUUAGCCUCCAUCUUUUUAGUCUCUUCUUGAAGGAGAACUCUUAAACUGUCCUUCAAACGGUCGUCAAAGCUCACCCUCUGUGGUUUGGGCAAAUUGAAAUAUUGCCUUGGGGAAACACCAGCACCAACUCCCCUCAGUCUGCCUGGAUGCUCGGGGCCCAAAGCCAUGGUCAGCACAUCAUUGCUGCCAUCUACUCUGACUUUGCCUUCCGAGACUUGUUUCUGCAAUUCAUCCUAAAAAAAGAUAAACAAAAAAACACACGACGGUUAUUUAUGUACAAACGACGUAUUAUAUAAUUUCACACGACGCAAUAACGUAUAAACCGACGUUAUUAUAACUUAUCACGACGGUAGUUAUACCGACGUGGUUAUUUAUUUAAAACGACGAAAUGAAUAAACAACCGACGUCUUAUGCUAUAAUUAAAGAUAACAGAGUAGUGAUUCCUAUUUAGACCGUUAACGACGUUUUUAAAAAAUUUUCGACGUGGUAAUAUCAUUCACACGACGCGAAAAUGAACCACCGACGUCUUAUGCUGUAAUUACAGAAAACAUAGUAGUGAUUCCUAUUUAGACCUUUAACGACGUUUUUAAAAACUUUUCGACGUGGUAAUAUCAUUCACACGACGAAAAAUAUAACAUACGACGUAAUAAGAAUAAUUCACAGUUUAAUAAAAAUUUAAAACAGAGUGAUAGUAGGCUUACAAUUAAUUUUGCUUUCUCUGCCACCUUUGGAUCAGGGAUGUUACCAUGUUUGUCCUGUCUAGCUCUCUUCCAUAAGGUAGAUCGAUCAAUUUCUACCCCAGGCAUGGUUUCCUCCAAUUGAUCCUCCAAUCCAGCAUAUCCUUUUCGAGACAAUCGAUGAUUGUACUCGAGUUUCUCCCUAAUCUGUGCAUGUUGAGAAUGCACAGACUCAAAAUCUUUGGAUAGCCUUGAAGCUACAAAGGCAUCCCAUUGUGCUUUCUCUAUGAAUUUAUAUGUUUCAGGGGGUUGGCUUAAUUUCUCCCUGUCAUUGGUGUAUGGAAGGAUAUAAUGCCUCGUUAGUGUAGACUUGAAAUCCUUCCAUUUCUUGGAAGCAGAAGCUAAAACAGAGGUCUUGCCCCCUUGGCCUACGACAAAAGCCAUGUCAACUGCUUCCCAAAUCUGCUCCUUUAUAUCCUUGGGGAUUUGGGACCAUUUCUUGUCCACAAGUGGGAUCCUGGAGCGUGCCAACACACCAAUAUACGACUGCAUCUCAAUAUGUGCUUGGCCAACACCUUUCCCCCUUUUAUUGUACUCAACAAUUGGCCUCAGUUUCUGAAGCUUUCUCUUCACAACACGAGGCAUUGUGCUCAUACCUCGACCAGUCUUUGAAUCAUCUGAGAUUGUUGUCUGGCUGGUUUGUUCUGUCUCAGCAGAUGAUGAAGCAAACUUCAUCUUCUUCGAAGACUUCAUCUCCUUCGAAGACUUAUCUUGAGGAGCUACCAUUCCAAGCUUCUUGGAGCCAGAAUCCUUAGUUUGUUGUUGAGAAACCAUUUUAACAGACAAAACUGCAAGUGAAAAUAUUUCAGGAAAACAUUAAGAACACAAACGACGGUAUUAAAAAAAUACGACGUAUGAUAUGAUUUUAGACGACGCAAUGAAAUAAUCUCAGACGUAAUAAAUGUUUAAAACCAUUAUUUAUAUAACGUCGUGGUAUAUAUGUUCACACGACGUCAAUAGUAAUACACCGUCGUGGUAAACUAUUAUUUAUAUUUUAUCGUCUAUAUUAGAUACCAACCCUAGUUUCUUUUUCUUUAUAUUUUAUCAAAUAAGGGAAAAACAAAAACCAUUGUUCAGCGAAAUCAAACCUGCAAUUAAACAAGCAUAUAAAAAAAGACUAUUAUUUUAAAAACAACUUUGUCAAUUUUCAGACGACGCUAGAACAACUGACGAACCGUCGUGGUCUACCGUCGUCUUAUUUAGUUGAUGUAGUUGUCUUCAAAGUUGGAAACUUUCUCUCUUUGUCUGUAUAUUUUAUCAAACUUGGAAAGAAGUAAAAUGAUUUUGGCCAGAAAAAAGGUAAAAAGAUUUUUCAAACAAAAAACGUAUGAGCAUGCAAAACAGUAACCAAAAUAGUGAAAAUGAAAGCUUACCUUUUGCGUGCAAUGAAAGCAAGAGGAAGAUGAUCGAUGUUUAAGUUCAGAGACGACGAAGAAGACGAGAGGAAGACGAUGAGAAACUCUGACAAUGCUCUGACAAGGAAAAAAGACGAAAAGGUUUCUCUGGGAGAUUGAAAUUUUUAAUCGGGUUUGGAAACAGUGCAUGUGUAAGUCGAAAAGUUGCUUACAUAUAAAACCAUUUCAAAAAAAUAAUACGGCGGUUACAUUUAACUACGUCGUUUUUAACUAAAACGACGCAAUAUUUUUCAUUCGACGUGGAAUCAUUUCAUUUAACGUCGUUAGGUUUAAUAUAACCGACGUGGAUUUUAAUUUUUAAAUUAUGAAUAGAAUUUUUUUUCCCGUGACCUUUCAGUUUAUUUUUCAAUUACAGUGCGUUAUAAAUAGAGUUUUUUUUCCGGAGGAAAUUUAAAACGAAGGAAAUUAAUAUUCUGCAAUAUGUAAAGUUUCUUUUUUGGAUGACAGAUUUAAAUAAAAUAAAAAUAUAAAAACAACAAAUGUGUAAGUCAAGUAGACGAAAAGUUGCUUACAUAUAAAACCAUUUCAAAAAAAUAAUAUGGCGGUUACAUAUAACUACGACGUAUAAAUUACAAAAUACGACGGUACAUUUAACUUCGGACGUGGUAAAUAAAUACGACAGUAGUUUGUAGGUACCGUCGUAGUAAACUCAAAAAUUAAAGUACAUAAGUAAUAACUCGCGUCAUGGUAUAUUAUUUAACACGUCGUUUUUAUUAAUUUACCGACGUGGAUUUCUGUAAUAUACGUCGAUCAUACCGACGUUGAUUUUACAAUUUAAACGGCGGUUUGUUUGUAAGGACCGCCGUUGGUUUUAAAAAUUUAUUCUAUAAAUUUGUCGCUUUCAUUCAUUUUCGGUUUACAUUUAAGGUUCCAAGUUCUUCCUCUCUCAGUCUCUCAUGUCUCAAAGAUAAUAAUUUGGAUGUUUUCUCAAAGAGAAAUUGAGCUUACUCGCAUCAAAUAUAUGUCCACAAGAAGAAGCUUGUCAACUAGCCUUCUCACUUCCUUGAUCAAGCCUGAUAGGACACUUAGUGCUUCUGAAUACUCCUUGCUUUCCAUCAAAAGAGAUGCAAGCCUGGCCUCCACUCGCUGUCGAAGGAAAGUUCGCUUCUCAGGGAAAUCUGAAGAUCAGAUGUGCCUGAUCCUCUGCUUGAUUUUCUUGCCUAAGAAGAUCCGUCGGAUUUAUUGUGAUAGCCUCUUCCUUUAUCCGUAGAGCUUCAGAAGAAGAAGAUGGGUUUCAAGAAUGCGAUAAAGAAUAGAAAUGGCUUCAGAUGGCCUCUAAAGCAUGAGCAAUUGAAUCAGUAGUUUCUGGGAGAUAUGAUGAAGACAUUGUCAAUGCUUUGAACUACACAAGUCCUGCAGAAAGAUAUGUUAAAGAAACUGAAACAACGGCGGUUUUCUGUUCUACCGUCGUCUUUUCUCGUCGUCUAUAUUAAGUUACGAUGGCGGUAGAUUUAUAAUUACCGACGUAGAUUAUUUUGUUAAACGUCGUUAAGUGUACUACAACCGACGUGGAUUUUAAUUUUAAAUUAUAAAUGGAGUUUUUUUUCCCGUAUUCUUUCAGUUUUAGUUUUCAAUUCCAAAGCGUGAUAAAUAGAUUUUUCUUUCCCGAGGAAAUUUAAAAUGAGGGAAAUUAAUGUUCUAGAAUUUGUAAACUAACACGACGCAAUAUUUGCAAAUCUGUGUCAUCUGUUAAGAUUAUGAUGUGGAACAGAGUUCCAUCUGGUAAGAUUUCGUAACCCUUGGGAUCUCAGACAAAACUGAUUAUGUCGGCGGUGUUCUAUAUAAACCGUCGUGGUUAUUUCAAUUCUUGUCAUUAAGUAGAUCUACCGACGUAGGAUAAGAAAAUCAAAGAAAAAAAUUGUUAACAAAAAUUCUUAUUAAGACGACCGUUAAAAUUAAAGGUACGACGUAUAAAAUGAAUAAAUACGACGAUAAAUUUUAUUGUACGAUUUAAAGAUAACGUAGUAGAACUAUACGAGAAUGACGUCGAUAUAUUUAUAUUUUCCGUCGUUGUAAAUUAAUUUAAUACGGCGAUAUUUUGUAUUUUAAAGCCGUGGAUUUGUUUGUAAUUAUACGGCGUCUUAUACGAAAACCUCGUCGUGUUAUUUUAUGAGUAAAAACGGCAGUUUUUAUUGAAAUCGUCGUCUUUACUUUCUACGUCGGUCGAUUCAUAACUUCUGCCGUUCUUUGUUGGCAUUGAUUUUACACUGAGGAAAUCUGUUUCAAAUAGACGUCGGUUGUUUAAUUAUGUACGUCGUUGUUUUUGAACAGCCAUUUGAAACUCCAUUUUUUAGUUGUCUAAGGUUGUAUUACACGACGGUGUUUUUAGAACCGUCGUCUUUUUAUAAACCACGACGGUUUUCACUUAGACCGUCGUUGUUUUCUGGUCGUCUUUUUCACUUUUUGUAGUAGUGAUAGCUACCCUCAGGAUGACAAAACAAGCUUAUUUACAUGCCCUGGCGGGACGAACUAUAAGGUUGUGUUCUGCCCAUGAAGAAGCAGAUACAUCUUCUAGUUUAUAAUAUCUAUGAAUAAGUCUGAUGCAAUAAAAUUAGUUUGAGGGCUUUGUCAUCAGCACAUGUAAUGGUGUGCAUUAUGUAAAACAAAGUACCUGUACUCUCUCACUCGGUUCAGACAUCAUAACGAAAUGAAAGUCUCAGUUUUUCAUUUUCUAUUGAGUAGCACCAUCUUUAAUUUCGAUCUAUUCCAUGAAAAAUGACUGAAAAAUAAAGUGAAACUCUUACGAUCAUCAGUCAUGCUUUAUUUUUCUUAAUGCUGGGGGAUUUUGCUUCAUAUAUUACCUAAUGAAUGUGAAAAUUUGGUUACCUACAUUCGAAACUAAUGUUGAAGCUCAAUGGUUUAUUAAAAAAAGGCAUAUCUUCAGUGGCCAUUCCUAGUAAAAGUAUUCAUAUAUGAAAAAGAGACCUAUAAAUGGAAAACAAUUCAGGGUGUCAGAUGCUUGAGAUCUUUAGGGAAGUUUCCUUUAGGGCCGUUUGAUAUAAUUAUUUCAAUUUUACUUUUUAGUUUUAUUUUUUGUGCUAGAGUAGUGAGGGGAAAAGAGGGAGAAUGGAAGUGAGAAUGAGAAUGAAGAUGG